UCAUUCUCUCCUUAGAUGUGAUCGGACGGACGAGAUCAAUCGCGAUGAACGGCCCAUAUUCGCCCACGCAAUCGGCCUAAACUAACAAAGAUUGGAUGACCUUCAUUACUCCACGUCAAUGCGAAUGGACGGUUCAAAUUGACGCGGGAUUGAUAUAAUACCUCACAUCGUAGGGGAACCCAAACCCUAGUCGCCAACACCUCACCGGAGAAGAAGAACCAAAUGUAUUUUUUCGGCUAAUCGAAACCUCAUAACGUAUUUUUUUGCAGGGAUACAUGUAAAACUUACCAAAAUCGGCCAAAACUGACUAACUCAAGGCGAAUCGCCGCCUUAUACGGCAGAGCCAGUGCCGGAGCACGGUGGCAGAAUCCUAAAAUUGGCCAUAAAGGGUUUUGGAUACUGAUUUUGAGUUUUUGAUGUAUUUUUUGGUAUGUGAUGAGUAUUUUAAAUUCCGCAUAAAAAAUUUAGAAAAUCUAUAACUCGUUAUGAGGUGUAGUAGACAGUGUAAUAUCUCGAAACAAUAAUUCAGGUAAGGAUCUCUCACCCUAUUCUCGAUUACGGUAAAUUGAAGUUUAACGAUAUGUAAUUUUAUAUUUUUGUGAAAAAUUAAAAAAUUCUAAAAAUAAUUACAAGUCACUAAUGGAAUCGGAACCAGUUAAUUCACAAUUGUCCUAAUUUCUUGUUUAUUUUUUUAUACUGCUCUACGUGCUGGUUAUUAAAUGUUGUAUGUUCUUAAUUGAUUUAUCUGGUUUAUUCGGUCUCUUAUUAUGAUAAGUUAUAUCGUAUAUAUAAAUGUCAUCUAAUUAAUUUAUAAAUAUAAUAUGAGAUAUUAGUAUGCAUUUGUUAGUUAUUUUGUUGAUGAAAAUCUUUAUGUGAAAAACUUACUGAGCACCUAGGGAAAUGACGGAUGGUCCCGGUAUAUAGAAAACUCUGUCGUGAACGUUAUUUCAGUCAAAUAGGGCUGGGAAGUCUCUUAUCGGAAAGGUUUAGCAGAUAUGAUUCACCCUCAUACCGAAUAGAGUAUUGAAACGAUAAAGUGUUUGAUAUCCAUUAACGGACGAGAUAUGAGGAUGACCAAUUAAUUAUUAAAAUUAGAUAUUGGGUUCACACAUAGAGGAGACACCUUUAUGAACUCUCAAAGGUACCGGUACGCAAGUAAGAAAAAAAAAUUGUUAUUUUUUGUUCACUUGUGCGUGAAAAUGAAAAGUGGUAUGAAUAUAAGUUUUCAUAAGUUGAUUUUUAAAAAACUCGUAACGAUAAGUAUCAAAAAAACGUUUUAAAAGUUAAAUGUAUUUAAUUAAAAUAAGAGCUUCAUUAGUUGUUUUCCAAUUUUUACCAAUCUUCAGUUUUCUGUAUUAGUAAAUAGUAUGAUAUUUUUAUUGAGUUAGUACAUUAAUUAUUACAGAUCAAGAGGAUCAAAAUCUAGACCCUAAUCAGUAAGAAGGUUGUGAGUUGUGAGUAGUUUACCUCAUAAAUCUCUUUAAGAGCUAGUGGAGGUUAACUCUAGGACAUUUAUCUAUUUAUUUUAAAUCAUUUAUUUAUUUCUUUUUUACGAGUCACAGUAAUAUAGACAUUUUCGUAACUCUAUUAAACAUUCUAAUUUACUAUAUAAGAAAUAGAAAUUCUAACAUAUUAUUUGCUUCCGUAUUUAAAUUAUAAAUUUAUUUUCUUUAAGAUCCUAAAUCUUUAUAAGUUUCAUGCACAAAGUAAAUUUUGAUCUAGAAAAUCAAGUUACUUUCUCACUCUCUUACUCAAUAUUUCUUCUUUUAAUGCUCGUGACCAAUUUAAUUUAAUUCUUAAGAAAACUAUAAAUAUAAGGAUAAUUAUAAACACGUAAUCUUUUCACUCGAGUAGGCAAGAGAAAACAAUCUCUAGAGCUGAGGGAUGGCCGAGUGGGGCCAUAAGUCCUCUAAAGGGCCCUGUUGCCGGUGGCUAGCCUAGCUGGCUGGCUGCUCGGCCAAUCAGUACAUUUAAAUUUAAAAAGAAAAAAAGAAGUAAAGCAAAUUUUACAAGUUAUCGACAAAGGCAAAAGAGUACAACCCCUCAGUCCGUUAUUAUUAUCAGAAGAAUUCACUUAGAAACCAUCCCAUAAGAUGUUACAGAGUAUUGACUUGUAGAAACUUGCAACUAGACAAGAAAAAAAAAAAGGCUGCAAGCCUUAACCUUGCUUCUUAUGACAGAAUCAGGAGACAAGAAUAGCAAUAAACUUAGCCCUAUUCAGCUUUGGGAGGGCCCUUCCACUUGAAGUUAUCUGCAUACGCCUUCACCUGCAACCACAAGAUGCGUGUUUCAAUAGAUUAUGGUUUGCAAGGGGACAUUUCCCACUUCUACAGAAGCAUGAAUUUGUUCAUUAGCACUUGGAUAUGAACAGAUGAUCCCAAAGCAAGAUUGGCAAAAACUGAAUGAGAACCAUCUACAUCUACAUACAUGUAAGGCCACAGACUACUAGCAUAGAAGUAGAGUACUAGCCAAAGAGCUGAUAGAUUGUUCUCCGAAACUCGAAUCUCUUUGUACAUACUGAAAAUUGUGGUCAUGAUCAUGCAGUUUACGUAGGCACAAUGAUUACCAUAGUCUAAAUUUCAAAAGAAAACAAUGUUUUGAAUAGCGCAACUAAAUGCCACUGCCCAGCUAAUGAAAUUUAACAAUUUCCAUACAAGCCAUAUUCAGUUAUUACUCGUAUUUAGAGAGAUUACUGCUUACAAAAAAUUCCCAGAGGGAUGCAAUACAGUAUUUUUUACCCAAGGCAUUCUUUCAUCAAUGGGUAUUCUGGCAAGGUUGUGUUUUCUUCUUAAUCCAAUACACAUGAAAAAGUCCUAGUUGUUAGAUGGAAGUUUUCAUCUUGAAAACUUUGCUGGUAACUCUUGGAUGUAAGUACAUUCUCAACCUCCAGUAAAUUCUUUAUUGUUCUCUCUCUCUGUCACAUGUUCACUUCACUUGUGUCUUGCCUGGUUAUAUCAACUAGACUUAGGAGUUGAGUAUUGAUUUGUCUACUUAGGAAUUGGGACAAAUUCAAAGAAUUCUUAGAUGUCACACCUAAAAUGGAGAAAAACAGGAAAAUAACUAGGAGACACACAUUGGAUCCUCAAGCAUCACAUCUAAGAUGGGUUUGUAGGCAAUACACUUAAAAAACAUGAUUAAGUCACAACUGAAGUAUUGAGAGGAAUCUCACCAUAAUCUACUAACUCGUGACCUGAUCUUAUAAGUAAACUUAGAUAGGUAUCCACAAUGCUUAAAAAUAAAAUCCUAAUCUAACUGAGAUGAAAGCAUCCGACUCGAAAACUUAUUGACUUAAAAAAAUUAAAACUAUAAAUGAAAUCCUAAUAUUACUAAAAGACCUAAUCUUAUCCAUACCAGUACACUUAUAGAUUAGCUAGAAAUACAGUUCUUAGUUUUUAUAUCAGAUAUCCAUAAUUAUGUUCUAUUGGUUUUCAAAGUAAAAUGCUUAUUUAAAAAGCAACUAUUAAGAGUAAAAGCAUUCUGAAAACACUCAAGCAUGUUACUCUUCUAUGACCAAAGGUAUGAACUAUUACCUAACCAAUUGAAAGCUCAUGCAAAUGAUAAGAGUGAUGAGCAACAACAAUUCUCAGAUAAGAGUUACUAACCUUCAACAAUGGUGUCUGCUGCUUCUUCACCUGCAGAUUAAUCAGGAAGUGUUGUGAAUAGAGGAUGACAGACAGGGAGAGUAUACAAAAACUACGGCGGUGAAAGAGACUGAUAGAGAGAAGCCAUGGUAAGCAAAACUGAACCAAGAACAGCUGCGAGCUUUGGAUCAAUGGUCAUCAUCUCACACAACGCUUCAGCAUGGCUAAGUUUGCUAGGAUAAUUCCUAUUAACAUCAAAGGUACCGUAAAACUCUAAUUUUUUAGAACACUUGGAGGGAAGACACUAGAGUUGAUACUUCACAAGAGAUUACCAAAAGGUUCCCUGAAUGAUGGCCUAGCCAAUAGAGGAAGAGAUGGGCAGAUGUGUGCAUACAGACACAUCCCUGAAUAAAAUGCCACUGGAAAGAUAAUACACUAAAUCUACCUGAAAAUCAAAACGAUUCUUAAAAUUUAAGCCCUACAAAUAAAAAGCCUGCAGAGAGAAUACAAUACAACAUACCACAUAUUCCCAUCCGUGUUUCUCUGCAAAUGCCUUUGCAGCUUCUUCACUGUCAAAGCUGAGAGCAGAGUCACCAACAUUGGCAUAAGGGUCUCCCGUUGAUGUCCAACCCAUCAAAGGAUUUUCCCACCUAUGGUACAAUGGUUGACAAAGAAACUUUCAAUAUGAUUAAGAUCUUAUUCAUUACAUGAGAACAUUCACAAGUAAAUCCAAACUGAUCAAAUAACCAAGAAAAUUCUUCUAGUUAAACAUUUUAAACGGAAGUAUUUGCUGUGAAGAUAAUACUAAUAUUUCUUUUCUUUGAUAAGGAAACAAAGAAACCAAAACACGGUGAACAAAUCAAAUGAAGUUAAUACUAGCAUUAGCAGACACCGUUAUGACGAAUGAUGUUGCUAAACAAGAACCUAAUGCAAUGACAUUGCAGAACGAAAUUGCAGCCCAAGCAGUAAGAACGGUGCCAGCAAAAACCCUCAUAACAGAAGACCAUAGAUACCAUCAUGUGAAUCUUUUAGGAUAAAAAUGAAGCCAAUACAACUUCUUUCAGCGAUAUUAAAUAUAAAUUAAGAUAAAUGAACUUACUUUUGUGUUGACAGAAAAUUGAUUUUCCACCUUCCAACUUUUCCAGAUCCUUGCUGAGUCGCAGUUCUAGCAGGUGAAUAUAUUACCACCUGCCGUAGACGUCAAAUAAUUCAAGUAAACCGCAAAUUACUAGAAGCCCAAAUUAAUCAAUUUGUUCUUAAUAUUUCCAACUUCAAUGCUGCCUGACAUAAAAAAUCGAAGAAAAUUAUAUGUCCUAAUUCAUCAUAUUUGACUGUAGUAUGAACCCAGAAAAUAUCUGAAUGUAAUACAUACGUGCACAUAGAAUCGGGAAAACAAAAAGGAUAAUCAAGAGAACUAAAUUAAAGAAUAAACAAAUUCGCAGACGUCGAAGAAAGCAGGAGGAGAGGAAGGGUAUACCCUUCUGCGAAGAUGUUCUUCAGGGAUCCCAGAGACCAUGCCGAUCUCACCGGACUUGAUCUCGGUUUCGACCAAUGCGUCCGUUGAGAAAGGUCUAGCAAGAGGACGCAUUGCAGUGUGCAGAGCCCGGUACCCUUGGCCCGUGAUUCGUUGCAGAGAGCUCGAAGCCAUGUCGUACCAAGCUAAUCUGUGAGUUCGAUUGAGUUCUGCCACCCAGUGCCCUUGAAAAUGUAAAGAUGAAUUUGCAACUUUUUUUUUUUUUUCUUCAAUUACAAUUUUUACUUGCAGCCUUUUGCGAUUUGUGAAAUUGCUAUUUUUCGGAAUUACAGACUUUCCCUUUUUAGUCCAAUAUUUACGAAGUACCCUCUCAUUUCUGAAUAUUUCCAAACGGUCCUCAUUCUUAUUUGAAAUCAAUAAUUUCCCCCCCUUAAUAAAAUAUAUUAUUUUCCCCCCAACAUAUAUGAUUUCUUAUGCACACAAAAAUUUAUAUGCAUUUCAAGAGAUUAUCUUACAAAUUGAUAUAGAAUCCAUAAUUUGUGCAUUAUACUUAAACUAUGAUGACAUUACAAAAAUAUUUUAUACGAUUUUAUAAAUUAUUGAAAUUCGAGAUAAGUAAAACCUAUGUUUAGUAUAUAAAAUAUAUCUUAACAUUAUAAUAUUUUGAAAUUGAAUUUUAAUUUUUAAGAUGGAUUUAUUUUUUGAAUUUUUUUAUUUUAAAAAAUAUUACAAAAUAAGAAGGAGAAGUAUUCAGAGAAUACUUGGUUUUAGAUUGAAGGCGUAUAGAUAUAACAAUAAAAACUAUACACCUUCUUAUACAAUAAUAGUUUUUAUUCUUAAAAAAAAAAAAAAGAUAGUUGCAACACAAUAGUGUGGCUUUUUAAAAAAAUAAAUAAAUAUUGAGAAAUAGUGAAAAAAAAAUAACAAAAAAAAAAAUAUUACUGUAAUUUCAGAGUAAAUGUCAAAGCAAUAAAAAUAUUUAGAUAAAAAAUUAAAAAUUUAUUAUAUUAAUAUAUUAGAAAUAAUUUACAUAAAAAUUAAAAAUAUUAUAUUAUUAUUUUUUAAAUAAUUUUUAUAUUACAUUUUAUGCACCGAGCAUUAUAAUGUUAUUUAUUUUUUUAAUAUAUAUAUUUAUAAUAAAAAUAUUAUGAUACUCUUAUUAUAUUUUAGAGAUUUAUAUUUAAAAUUUAGUUAUGUAAUGAUUUAUGCAUAGUGAAAAAUAAUAUUAUAAGAUUUAUAUGUGUAUUUUAUUAUUAUCCAACUUUUUAUAAUAAAAAAAAGAAGAUCACAUAAAUCGAAAUAUUUAUUAUUAUUUUUUAAAGAUAUUUGAUUUUUUAUUUGUAUGAUAAAUAAUUCCACUAAUUUUUUAAAAGUAAGAGUUUGAAUAAUACACUAGGUAGUUAAAAAUUACAUCGUGCAUGCCAUUGUUAGAGUAUUAUGUUAUUAUUAUUGUAUAGUUUGUUAUAUAAUUAAUAAAAUAUAUGAAUUUUAAUUAAAAAUUAUUAUAUAUUUUUAAAAAAAAAUAGUAAAAUGAAUUAAAUAUGUAAUAAGCGAGGCCGCAGUGUAAUAUUUUAAAAGAGGAGCGCAAAUUGAUAAAUACCUCUAAUAUCGGGAUACUUUGAUAUUUGGAAAAGAAUAGGGGCGGCAAGAGAAGUGUCCUUCUGCCUGCUGCAAUAUAUUGCAGAAUGAGUUUUUUAAUUUAAUGGUUCUCUCUCACUCUCGUCUCCCUUUUAUUAUAUUCGGGCAUUUUCCUUAAGCAAAUGAUCAAAUUGAUGUCGGUUUCUUUCUAAUUAUCACGUUCAAAUGCCGAUUUACCACUUCUGGUCUUUGAUCAGGUAAGGCUUGCUCCUUAUUUUUCCGUUUCUCCUCAGUUCCUUAUCGGCAAAAGCUUUUGCGCGUAUAUAAACACACACGCACACGCAUAUAUGUGUGCGUAUUCCGUUUCUGUUAUAGUUCCUUCAUUUAAUAAGUUGAUGAUGUGGUUUUGUUUUAUUUGAGUUACUAUAUGACCUCAUUUGAUUUAUCUGUAGUUAGGUGUAUCUACGACAAUGGUUAGUUUUCUUGUUUUCUGUUUUGCGUUUUUUCGUUUCAUUAAUUUUUAUUUUGCAUUUCUGCUUCGCAUCUUCUACGAUAUUUUUCUCUCCAGGAAGAUGCGGGGUUGGUGAAUUUCGUGGUGCCAAUUCUGCAGUCAAAACUGUUUUGUUGAUUUACUUGCUUUAUCUAACUUUGGAGCGAAGGUAUUUAUAUCGCUAGAUCGUGAGAGCACUAGUCAACUUGUGGAUUAACAUAUAAUUUGGUUCUGAAUCUUUCUGGUUCUAAUGUCUUUUCCUUAAUUGGGCGAAUGAGCUAUGUGAUUCUCAUAGGAAGUUGUGAAGCUGAGCUAUGUGAUUCGUCAUAGGAAGUUGUGAAGCUGUAGUUGGUAAAUCAGUUCUAUGAAGUUCAACUUCUGUUCCUUUAGUUGGGCACAUAAAGCUUGUGAUUUGUUUGCUUUCACUGUCAAAUAUCUGAAGCUCCUAAUGCCAUUUGCAAUGAAGCCUUUGUUAACUCAUGCCAUGUUGUUUAUGCUGAUUUGAAUAUUGCUGAUUGCGCUAUAGGAUUAGAAGGCUUCUGAGCUCGAAUUUCUUACUAUUAAAUGUCUCUUGUUGAAUCAUUUCAAAAAUGUCUCUCUUAUUGAAAUAAUAGGGUUAUGUCAUAUCAUUGGAUGUCUAAUAGUAGGGACUUUCAAAAAUGUCUCUCUUGUUGAAAUAAUAGGGUUAUGUCAUAUCAUUGGAUGUCUAAUAGUAGGGACUUUGAUGUGACCCAAAUCAAUGUGAAUCGAGACCUUGCCAUGUAAUCUUGAAGUCGAAGCACGUGUGCAUUUUCUGCAAUUAGUUCCAUUUUUUCUCCUUUCCUCAGUGAUUAUGUUUAUAUUGGGAGUUCUUCUUGUAUUCAGUUCAAAUUCUAUUAUUUAUCAUUUAGUCUCUGUUAUAUUGCACGUAUUCAACUAAUAUUUACUGGUGUUUGAUGAUCCUUUUCUGGGCCUAUUCCUGCAGGCAGAAGAAAUCAGUUUCUUAGAUUCUGUGGGGGGAUUUAUAGUCUACUAAUGGGUGCCCCUAAGCAGAAGUGGACGGCAGAAGAAGAAGCAGCACUUAAAGCUGGAGUACUUAAGCAUGGGACUGGCAAAUGGCGUACAAUACUUUCAGAUCCCGUGUUUAGUGCCACAUUGCAGUCUCGCUCGAAUGUGGAUCUUAAGGCAAUGGCUUGGACUUUGACAUGCUAUAUCAGUUGCCAAAUAUAUCGAACUAUAUAAUAUAUACUUAUUUGUUUUCAAACAACAUCUCAUGGUGAAUUGUGACGUAGUAAUUUGGACGUUGCAAUUCUUAACAGGAUAAAUGGAGAAAUAUAAAUGUCACAGCAAUAUGGGGAUCUAGGAAGAAGGCUAAGCUUGCACUUAAAAGGAUUCCAAUUCCUAAACAAGAUGAAAAUGCAAUGACUUUGAUCAACGUAUCCCACAAUGCGGAAGAAAUAGUAGAUGCUAAGCCUCUUGCUAUUUCUAGUGGGACAUCAAGAGCUGAUGGUUUGAAGAAACCAAUUCCGAGGUUAUCUCUUCUUCUUACAUUAUAUUUCAUCCUCUCCAAUUAUUUUGGACUAAUUUUUGUGUUAGUCAAUUUAGAUUAUUGUGGGUGGCAUGUAGUUGAGUAUUGUCGUUUCAGUGUUGUGGUAGAUAAUAUUAUUAAAUUUACUGAUGGAGGAAAGAAGCAUGGUUAGAUUUCUUGAUCAUGUUGAAGCGUGUAUGCAUUUGCUUUAAUAUAAUCUAAGUUAGAAAUUUAACCUAGAAAAACCCCUGGUUUUACUGGAAUCUACCAGAAAAACAAGAAAUUCUUGGAAUCCACUAAAAAGACAAAAGAGAAUAAAUUAUUCAUUGAAGCAUAAAAUAUGGAUUGACUGGAAUCAAUACUCUUUACAACCCAUAGAAUGUACAUAUUUAUAGCUUUCUCAACACUCACCUAGAAUAACAAUAAUUAGUAGAAAAGAAAAACUAAUACUAAACUAAGUGAGCUGAUAUUACUCCUGACCAAAUACGAAAAUAAAUCAUAAUUAAGUUACUGAUAUUCUAUAAACAAUACAACACCACCAGCAUGUUUAGUGAUAUAAAUAAUAUAUAUAUAUAUAUUAAUACUAAAAAUAAUGGUAAUAGUAGUUCUGUAAUUCUUCUCCAGAUCAUUUAACUUAGUUUCUAGAGGUGCAUCCAAGUCUUGUAAAUUCGGUGUUUAUUGUUCAUGAACCUUAUGAUGUUAAAUAAUUACUUAUCCACUUUUGAUAUCAUACUAACUAGUUACCAGAAGGGGGACUAUAAAGUGAGUGGAUGAAAUAAUGUGCUUGUUGACUCCAACUAUGAAGAAAUACAUGGAAAUAGCAAGAUAGUAGCAAACAACAGCUUAGCAUCUUAGUCAGCUCUUUAUGCACUCAGGAAAGGCUACAUUGCUGGACAUUCAUAUGCUAGAAAAGCCUUUAUGUUUUGAAGCUACAUUUAUUUUUCAAAGAUACGGUGGAAAUUUUCAGUUGUUUUACUCCAUAAAAGACAAUUAACAGAAGCCUGUUUAUCUUAGCAAAGAUAGUAACAAACAACAGCCAAGCAUGGCACUUAGCUCGUUACACUUUAAGGAAAUGAUACAUUGUGGGACACUCCUAUGCUAAAAAAACGUCUAUGUUUUGAAGCUACAUUUAUUUUUCAAAGAUACAGUGAAAUUUUCAGUUGUUAUACAGCAUAAAAAACAAUUAAGCCUGUUUAUCUUAUUUUAUGCAAUAUGCUGAUUGAUGAGUUCUAUGUCGUAGUUUGGAUAAUCUUGUAUUAGAUGCCAUCACCAACUUGAAGGAGUUACGUGGAUCUGACAGGGCUUCAAUUUUUGAAUAUAUAGAGGUACUAAAUUUUUUCCUGAGGUUAUGGAUUCAAACUUUGUUUUGCAGAAAUAAAUACUGAAUUAAUCAAAUAGCAGGAGAUUUUGGUGCAUAUACUUACAUUUUGUGAAGGUUUUCUCUUCAAUUUCUUUCUCGAGUAGGUGUCCUCCUUUCUGGCAUUUCUUUUUUUUUUUUUUCUUUUUCAUGAAUUUGUUUCUUGUUUAGAAAGUAAUAAUAAUAAGAUAAUUGACAUCAAAGUUAUAUUUAGUUUUCCUUUUCAAAAUGUUAAUAACAAUUGACAUCCAAUAAUAAUAACGAUAUUAAGAAUUUUGGUAACGUAGUAUUAAGCUACCAUAUUGCUUAUGAAAAAUGCUUCUACCAUUCCUUUCUCUUGUCACUCUUAUCAAGUUUCUGUCUUAGAAUCUGAUGAAGACCUUGAUGACCUAAUUCAUAUAUUGACUGGGCCGUAAAUUUCUACUUCUCUAUCUGUGCACCCUCUUGGUAUCUUGUUUGUUAUAUUCCAUCUUGUUAUAGCAAAAAACAAAAAGUAUCAUCUCAUAAUUUGAACUUUAUUUUUUCGUCAGAAGAAGCACAUAACCCAUUUAAAAAGUUAAGUGAGACAAUUUCCAGAAGUAAGUCUUGAUAGAUGGUUGUGUGCGUUGAUGUAUUUGUCUUUAUUUGUAGUUGCUUCAUUAUUUUUCCCAAUUUCCCUAUUAAUUUUUUAUUUUGCAGGAGCACUAUCGAACACCAACAAACAUUAAAAGGCUGGUGGCUACAAAAUUGAAGCAUUUAACUGCAAAUGGCACAUUGAUCAAGGUAUUAUUCUGCAUAAUGAAUUAUGACAAAUUACAAUAUCCAGACUUUGCCACAUUUCAAUAAUAACAGUAACUGACAACAAGAAUUCAUGGGGCAAAAAGAUAAUACUAAUUUUUUUGCAUUGCCAUAACAGUAACUGAUAACAAACAUCCAUGGGGUGGAAAAAAAAAAAAAAAAUUGUGCGUAUUUCAACAUAGCAUAGAACGAAAUGCUUGGAUCUUUGCAAUGACAAAAGAUCUCUCUUCAAGGUGAUUGCAGAAAAUGCUUUUAACGUAGUGUAGAUAUUAUAGACUACUAUUUUUGGAUGUUGGGGAAAAAAUUAAAAAAUCACAUUAUAUACAGAUGAGGUAUUCAUUGAGAUUGAUAUCUCUCUCAUGGGUGUAAUGCUGGUAGUGAAUUUUUUGACAUGCAUCCAUUUAUGUCUGUAAGGGCUAGUACAUUUCAUUUUCUAAGAGCUAUGGAAAGGCAGGGAUGUCAUAAUCUGUGCUUAGGUUAUCUUUGUUUGUGCUGACAGAUUAAGCACAAGUACAGGAUUGCCCCCAGUUCAGCAAUUGCUGGAGUUAAAAAGAAGUCUCCUCCAUUGGUUUUUGAAGGAAGGCAGAAGGAUUCUUUGAAACAAGAGAAAAGUAUCAACAUUCUUACUAAAUCCCAGAUUGAUGGAGAGCUAUUAAAGAUAAAGGGAAUGACUGCUCAAGAGGCUGCAGCAGCCGCUGCACGAGCAGUUGCAGAGGCAGAAGUUGCAAUUGCGGAGGCUGAAGAGGCGGCAAGGGAGGCAGAGAAAGCAGAAGCAGAGGCAGAAGCAGCACAAAUAUUUGCCAAAGCAGCAUUUAAGGCUUUGAAAUAUAAGACACUUCGUACCUGGUAAGGCCCCACUUCACUGACUUACUUCUUAAAAGUGCUCUUUAGCAUACGGAUUGGGACAUUUUUUCUUCUUGAAAUGCUGGUCAUAGUGUAUAUUUUAAGAUACUUCAGUUUCAGUCUCACCCAAGAGUCAGAGCCUUCAAAGUUUAUUUUUUCGGAUCUAUGCAUCGGCUGAACAACCAAAGUAUUCCAGCAAAUUUGAUAAAGUCAAACAGGUAGCUGUUUUUCUUGCCAUCCGCUCCGUCUUUUCCCUCUCUUCCUGACUUCCUUAAUCAAGGUGGUUCUCUCUAUUGUAACAAAGAGAGAACCAAGGUAUAUUGGUCAGUCAGCUUGUCAGCCUAAUUUCACACUUCGAUGGAAAAGGGAAAAAGCAGCAUAAUACCUUCUAUUCCUCUCGACCUCCAAUAAAAUGAGUUUCCCAGAUAAGAAUCAUUGUCUAGAUGUGCAAUAAUAAGCUACUGUUGUUUCAUUUUUCAUUGGAUUUCUGGACAAUUUCUAGUUUUAAUUUCCAUGUUAGGCUAGUUCAGUUAGGAAAUAGAAAAAUUUCUCACUAAAAUGACAAAAAUUAGCCUUAUAUGGAAUUUCAUGAGGAGUUUUAAUAGAAUUUGUAAUAUUUUCUAGUUGAAGUAAAUAUAGAUUUGCAAAGAAAUCUUGCAAAAAUUAAAAAUUUGCUACGAACAGCCUCAGUUUGUAAUAUAAAUAAUUAGAACGUAAUUGUUUGUGUUUUAAUUUCCAUAACUCCCGCUUUGAUUCUUUUCACUGCGAGAAUCCAAUUCUUAGCGUGGAGAAUUGAGUAGAAAUUGAAUCAGACACAACCUUAGGAAAAAUUGCCAUCGUACUUUUAGUGGUUGAUCUUCUUGUUGUCUUGGAAAUUUGAUGCAGAUGGCAUGAAGUGGAUAUCCUGUCUUAGGUGAUGGUACAGCAUGUGAAAUGCACAAGGUGCAGAUGUCAAAUCUAACUGGCAUGAUACAUACAUAUCUAAGGACACCAUGUCAGUUAACUGUAAAUAUAUCAUCAGGCUUGUAAAUGUGGAAUAUGUGAGAUUAAUCUCUGAAUACAGUUUUUGUUUCUGUGGAAUGAUUUCCAUAGGAGCUUCUUAUAGGCUUAAUUUCAAAAAGUUUUUAUGAUGAGGGAGUAAGGAAUUAGUAGAAGAAAUAGAAGAUUGUGAUGUCGUAUUAGAUUUAUGGUCAAUGUAUUACUGACAGUUCAUGACGAGGAAGAGUGAAUACUGAAAACUGUCGUUUCACAAAUGGCUUUCUGGAAGCAAUAUGAAAGGUUUCUGUGCGGUGUUAAUACUGGAAAUUAGUGAUUUUAUUACGUUCGUUUCUUUACUAGAAAUGUUCUCUUUUUGUUUUCUUUUUAAAUAGAGUUAGGGAUUUAACUCCAGGCCUUUGGCAUGUAGAAUUUUGUUGUGGCGUAAGUUCUGUUGAUUUGUUCUCCUUGAUGACAGGAAAGAAUAAUUAAAUUAUGUAUUAUACUACAAUUAAGCAGUAGGUUUUUCCAUUAUGAUUUUUUUAUCAAACUUACAAAAUUGUUAGGAAACAUAAUUUUUGUAAGUGACUAUAAAAAUUUUGACAAAAAUAACAAAACUAAACAUGUUGAAAUAAAAAUUUCUUAAUGAAGUAUAAUCAUUUCAAAAUUCUUUAAAAUUUUAAUUUUAAUUCAUUAAAGAAACUUCGUAGCUUUUAAAUCAUUUUACAUAAAAAUCAUAAAAGUUGUAUUUCAAAGUAAUUUUUAAACUUUUGUUCCUUUGUUUUUCGUUUUUUUUGCAACGAGUAAUAAAUAAUACAAUCGGCAAAAAAGAAAUAAAGAGACCGGAGUCGAUCUACAAUAUUUAGUUGAUCCCUGUUGGAAAUUGUUUGUAAUAUAUGAGUAUUUUUAAGUUGGAUUGAUUGACUUAUAUGAACCAAACAUGUGAUGAUCUCAACACGGGCUCAAAAUGCUUACAGCUCAAAAUAAGCCAACCUCAAGCGUGGCAUUUGGUUAAGGGUGUAAGUUUUGAUUUGAUUACUCAGAGACUGAGUCGACUGGAGUGUAGUUUGAUUAUGUUUUUUCAACAUUUGAAAAACAAAUUCAAUAAAACUCGUUAGUAGUCUCUAAUGCUAAGAAAAUAAGAAACAAUCCCCUUCAAAGACUCUCCUAUUUUGACAGAGUUCAUUCAACACUAUGUUCAAUCGUCAAGGGGAUGAUGAAAGCUUAUAUUCAAAUAAAUUUUAAGUGAACUUUAUUUCAAUCUCUACUUCAGAAGUUAAAUGGAAUUGAACUGUCAUUCCUUUAGAAGUAAAUUUAUGUAUUUUCAAACAAAUUUCACAAAAAAUAACUCAUGACUCCAAACAUAUCCUUAAUUCAAUAUGUAAACUCAUAAAAAGUUGCCUGCAAUAUUUACGAGAAUGCGAAGAUCCAAUCAGUUAAGAAAAAUUAAAGCCCUUUAGAUACUAGAAAAUGAAAAUACUUGAAGCUCAAUACCUGUACCAACUGGUAGUUUAAGAAUAUGAAAAUAUAGUAAAAAGUGCAAACUCGAGUUAUCAAUAAUAAGCACUUAAUCUUUUAACUCGUUCGAUGCAAAUCUUCAAAGAAUAAUAAUAAUUCUGGAAACUUAUAAUUCAACGAUCAUAACAAUUGUAUUUUAACUAUAAUUAUAAGCUUAAAAUUUCAUGAUUGGUAUAAAAAAUCAUGCUCUCACAGUAUACCCAAAGAUUCAAGGACUUGGAACAAGAAUCAGCCAUGUAGACCAAAAUAUCCAUGUUCAUCAAACAGAGAAAGAAAAAAAAGAAAAGAUUUCAAGUUUCGACUGCUGUUAUACACAGCUCAACAACCAUGUUUUCAAUUAGGUCUGUGCCUAACAAUGUUGGGUUUUGCUAAGGGCACUGUCUUUUAGUUCUUUGACAUGUCUUAAUUUCUUUCUAACUUAAGGAAGUCAUAAUUUCAACGGGACAUGGAUUCAAGACUUGGAGGGUGAUCUAGGACACUGAAUGCCAGAUGAGCUUAACUGCUCUUGGCAUGUCUUAAUGUGGUUAAAGGGCGAAACUCGGACUUCUCUGGGCAUGUCCUAAUUGCCUCACAACCGGAAGCAGUAAUUUCACUUAAUUGAACCCAGGACUUAAAAAGGGAGAUUUAGAAUGCUGGAUUUUAAUUGAGCUAACUGCUCUUGGCAUGUCCUGAAUAGAGAAUAAGAAAGUAACCUCCAACUCCCAAUUAAAUGUUUCAAGACAUUUAUUGAGUCUGUAAACUAUAACAGAGAAAGGUUCCUCUUUCAGAUAAUCUAAGUAGAUGAUACAUAAACCAACCUCAACCACUGGUGUUCUCAUUGUCAAAUAACUUAAGAUGCACGCAAGUUCAUAUGCAAUUUCUCUGAGUUAAAUCCACAUCUAAGAAGAUGUUUGGAACAAAUGAAAUUUGUUUGUGAAAUUCAUUUGUAGAUCUACACUUAUUUGCUCUAUGAAAGCAUCUAAAUCCCUUCUAAAUUGAUAAAAAUUGUCUAUAGUGCCAAUUUUUAUCAUUUUGAAUGAGAUUUCCAUCGUUUCAUGGUUAUAAUAUGUGAGUUUCUGAACCAAUUACACAAAGAAACAUCAUUCAUUUCAAACAUACCCUACUUUGAACAAUCAGUAAGCGCAAUGAUUAAAAUCCACCCAUAUGUAGUUCUGCCACAAUCCUAGAACACGACUCUGCAACUCGCAAGACAACAAAUGUUCCAAGAACAAAUCAUAUGUUCAAAUGUAAAGCCUACUCCUUUCAAGGUUUCUUUUUUUUUUCUUUCUUCCUUUUUCAUUGAGCUAUGAGCUAAUCUAACAUCUAAGCUGAAUAACAACUUGACGCUACCAAGCUUUUAGUUCCCAAAACAAUGGAAGUUCUGGUUAGAAAUGAACCCUAAAAUUCAUCACUCAUUGAUAAUUCCCAAAAGGUGAAGAUGUCAACAGAGAAGAGAACAUGUCAGUUAUACUCAACCCCAAAAUUCCCAUUCAUUAAUCGUUUAUCUAAAUACCCAUUAUUCUACAGCAAAAAAAAAAAAAUUAAACCAAAAAUCGGAAAUUCAUCAUUCUAAUACCACAGUGGCACCCAGCUCCUUGAGCUUCGAAACAAUCUGAUCGGCUUCCUCCUUUGUAACGCCCUUCUUUACGACGACAGGAACCUUCUCCACUAAAUCCUUAGCCUCCUUCAAACCCAAAUCAGUGAAAGUCCUUACUUCCUUGAUGAUCUUGAUCUUCGCUGCUGCAUCGAACUUCUCCAGUUUGAUAUCGUAAGCUGUCUUCUCUGCGGCCUUGGUUUCAGCAGACCCGGAAUCGGCGGCUGGGCCCGGUGAAGAGGGACCCGACACGGCAGGCCCGUAGCGGUUAAGCCCCAACUUGAGGCGGAAGAGGAUGGAGUAGUCGUGUCGCUCGAGCUUCGUAAGAUCGAGAAGCUCGUCGGCGAUCCUUUCUAGUUUCUGGGAACGGGUCUCGGGGGUUGUAGAGAGAGAGCGAGAGACAGAAUUAGGCGUGACGGCGCCGGCGGGUGCGUUGAUAGGUUUAGUUCUGAGGAGGAGGAGUAGGGAUCUAGCAUUGAUUUUGGAGAUUGCGGAGGACAUUUUUAGGGGAAGGCUGGAGAGAGAUGAGAGGUUUAUUGGGGUUUUACAAAGGUCAAAUUUUUUGUGUGAUUUUCAUUUGCGACCGGUAGUCAGUGAUGGUGGGGGAAGUGCCUAGGUUGGGAAUGGUAGUCAGUGAUGAGUACAGGUCGAGGUCCUUUUAUUCACAGCGAUGAAAAUUUGAGAACUAAAUAUUAAUCAUUACAUGUUGAUAUUUGUAGGCACAGUAUAUAUUAAAAAUAAAAUUUUUAAAUGUAUCAUAUAGAUUUCAAGAAGUGGGCUUUUACAAUCUUCUCUCUCAAGAAAGAUUUAAUUUUGGUGCAGAAAAUUUAUUUUAAAAAUAUUAAUUGUGCAUGGACUGUUAUCUUUCACUUUUAGUAAACUGUAGAAUUGCAGAGAAUUUUUCUGAGGGCUAAAAGAAACCUUACUCCUGAACAUUACAACGAAUUUGAAAAACAAAAUGGCAGAUGAAGCUGGGAUUAUAAUGGAAGGUAAUGAGUAUAAUUUACAUCUCAAACUUACAAAUCAUCCAAAUAUAUACAUAGCAUUUUCAUCAAACACAGAACGUGCUACCUAAUGUCAUAGGCACUGGCGUGAUCCAAUGUGUAAAUAAAGAUAUAUUAAGUUUAAACUCAUUUCGUGCCAGAAUUUAGUAGGGUUCAAGAUCUGGAGUUUGGAUUUCAGGAGAGAGCGAGAGAGAGGCUGUUUUUGCAACAACAAUUUCAGACCAAUUACUGUUCAGAGGAGCAAGAGGUUCAGAUAAUGUAUCAGUAACCAGAAAUUCAGACCAAUAUGCAACUUUGCACCCCAAAAUUCGUAAGAGUUGGUCUAAGUGAAAAUCAACAGAUCAUCUCCUUUCAUGUGUUCUAUUUAUGGAAAAAACCACUCCAUCAAGAUAUCAUCGUGAUCAUACAUCGACAACAAUGCUUCGCAUUUUGAUGCCGAAUAGAGCUUGUGUGUCAUUUCUGUCCAAGCUGAAAAGGAAAAAUUAUCCCAUCCUUUCUCCUGCUUUCCUUCCAUUCUUCCAGUAUUUGUUCGGCGGAAGGCAAGGUAGAUCCAUCAGAUCCACCAUCCAUCAUUGGGAUUUCAAAUUGAUCCAAGUUAAAGGUUGAAGGAUCACUGUCGAAAAAUUCUGUAGAUUCAUGUGAUGCUUCUUCACUCAUAGCAAAAACCUCAAUUUUGGAGCAAAGCUCGGACAAAUGAUUUCUAUUAUAAUCAUGAUUUGAUGAUGACCUCAUGACCACCUCUNNNNNNNNNNNNNNNNNNNNNNNNNNNNNNNNNNNNNNNNNNNNNNNNNNNNNNNNNNNNNNNNNNNNNNNNNNNNNNNNNNNNNNNNNNNNNNNNNNNNNNNNNNNNNNNNNNNNNNNNNNNNNNNNNNNNNNNNNNNNNNNNNNNNNNNNNNNNNNNNNNNNNNNNNNNNNNNNNNNNNNNNNNNNNNNNNNNNNNNNNNNNNNNNNNNNNNNNNNNNNNNNNNNNNNNNNNNNNNNNNNNNNNNNNNNNNNNNNNNNNNNNNNNNNNNNNNNNNNNNNNNNNNNNNNNNNNNNNNNNNNNNNNNNNNNNNNNNNNNNNNNNNNNNNNNNNNNNNNNNNNNNNNNNNNNNNNNNNNNNNNNNNNNNNNNNNNNNNNNNNNNNNNNNNNNNNNNNNNNNNNNNNNNNNNNNNNNNNNNNNNNNNNNNNNNNNNNNNNNNNNNNNNNNNNNNNNNNNNNNNNNNNNNNNNNNNNNNNNNNNNNNNNNNNNNNNNNNNNNNNNNNNNNNNNNNNNNNNNNNNNNNNNNNNNNNNNNNNNNNNNNNNNNNNNNNNNNNNNNNNNNNNNNNNNNNNNNNNNNNNNNNNNNNNNNNNNNNNNNNNNNNNNNNNNNNNNNNNNNNNNNNNNNNNNNNNNNNNNNNNNNNNNNNNNNNNNNNNNNNNNNNNNNNNNNNNNNNNNNNNNNNNNNNNNNNNNNNNNNNNNNNNNNNNNNNNNAUCAUCGACAUGCCCACCAUCCAUGGAAGAACUUAUGAGACCAGUGAAUGUAACCUCCAAAGGUUUACCGUGAGGAAGUUUUUUUAUCUUAUCCACCUGCAGGCAUAUUUGAUUACACCAUUAAAUCUUCCACAUUGAAUCCAUAUUAGAAACGACUAAAAGGUGAAUAUAAAGCCUGCAGCAUUAAGAGUAGGUCAAAAAUAAAUAAUAAUGUAACUAGUGAAUGUAAAUAUGCUUUCCAAUCAUUGUCACAGCAUUUCAUUUGUGCUUUCUCAAGAUCAGCAAAAAUGCAAACAUGUAACCAGAGGAAAAGAAACUUACCUCUACCAUAGCAUCUCGCCAUCUCCCACUGUUGCAAAGACAGCAAGCUAGUUCAUAGUAUACACUAGCUGUUCCAAUUACUCCCCUUCGUUCCAUGUCCCUAAUUGUUUCCACAGCUUCAUUAAUUUUGCCUUCCUUCCAAAAAGCUCUGACAAGAACUGGAAAGUUCACAACAAACAAGAAUGAGUCACAUGCAUGAACACCACUGGAAAGGAAAAAUGAAGCUACCUUUGUAUGUGAGUGCUUUGGGAGCUUCUCCAGCUCUUUUCAUUUUCCUAAAGAACUCAUGAACAAGAUCGUAUUUUCCUGAUUCCAGCAUUACCUUUCAACAAAAACCUCUAGUAAGACUUUGAUCCAAGUAUAAUUUUGACAAGGAACAAUAUACUUACAAACGGCACUGUCUCCAUAAUAAGAGCAUAGAGUGAAAUCCACUUAAUUAAAAUAAUCUUACAGAAAAUAAAGGUCCAAUGAGUAAAUAUGAUGCUUAUGUAUUUAACCAGAUACUGAAACAUCAGCCGCAGGCAUAUAUCUAAGUUCCUCCAAAGAGUAUGUAAACUCCGUAAAGGUACAGCAGUUGCCAUACAAUUUGAACCAAAAACCACAAUUUAAUAUUUGACCCUGCUUCAGCGUAGAAACAAUUGAAUGCUUGUACUUAUUUAUACACAUGUUGAGUGCAGACCCUGUUGUCACCUUUCUUUUGAGAAACAGGUGAUGCCAAAAGAUAGAAAGAUUCUCAGAUAUAGGCAAUUCCUGAUUAUUCUGCUUUAGUUCCACUAUUUUCUGCCCUCAGAUCCCCAAUCCNNNNNNNNNNNNNNNNNNNNNNNNNNNNNNNNNNNNNNNNNNNNNNNNNNNNNNNNNNNNNNNNNNNNNNNNNNNNNNNNNNNNNNNNNNNNNNNNNNNNNNNNNNNNNNNNNNNNNNNNNNNNNNNNNNNNNNNNNNUGACCAUGUGUUAUCUAUGGUUUCUCAUUAUUUGUGAUUCUAUGUUUUAAACAUUGCAGAAAGCAAAAAAUACUAAUUUUAGGCGAAGCCCAGACAUUUUAAACAAGGUUGGCAAAAUAAUUUACUGGGUCUCAUAACUUAUGCCAAAGCACAAGAAACAUAAAUGCUAUAGCAUGGUUGGCCAGGAAAUCCAGCAUCACUUGCAAAAAUAGCUCAAGAUAAAGAUGCUCUCUUACAGCAUUAUACACAACGCAGUCAGGUUCCAGCACAGGGUCCCAAUUCUUGUUUCUCAUAUGCUUAAUCUUUUUAGGUUUCUGUCUCAUGCACUCGAUAACUUUCAGCAACUCCCUCAGAAGACCUCCUUGACCAAGUGUAACAGCAAUACUAUGAUAAGCUGCCAUAUCAGGAUAGAUAUUGCAAUCUCCCUGCAGGACUGAAGAGUAAGAGUCAACCAAGCAACAUCCAAAAGAGAAAGAUAAGAAUCUUAUAGCAAAACAUAACAAGAUCAAAUCAUUAUUACAAGCAUCAGAUUGAAAAUGCGCAGAGCUUCCUGGGGUCUCCUUGCACUCCCAAGAACGGACAAGAGUUUUGUGAAAACAAACCUACAGGAAAAAUUAAGUUCAUAGCAUAAGCAAGGUUUUAAGAUAAUUGGCUGACAUUAGAAGCAUGUAGUUCAAACUUUCAACCAUAUGAACUUCCAAUCAUGUAAUCUAUGUGUGUGUAUUACACACACACACACACACACAAAAUAAAACAGCAGACAAGAGGAUACCAAACAAUAGCUCAUUGGAAAAGAAAUUGCGAAAAGCCAACAGGACAUAGAAAGUCUCUAGCAUGAAGGGUGUGUAUUAGUUACCAUUAAACAAUUACAUAACAGAUUACAUUCGAGUGGCAUGUUAGUUACCCUAAAAACCAAAGAAGAUCUACUCAAGUACCAGGUUGAAUUCAGCUCUCAACCUCAAAUUCACAAUUCUGUUCCAUGGAUUAGCUGAUUGAUACAUAGAUUGUGCUUCUGCUACCUUCCAACAAAGUGGAACUUGUACACAAAUCUAGCCAAGGAAAGACCCUUGAGGUUUUGCAUCAAAGCAAUGUCAAACAAGACAAGUUGAAACCAAAGAUGCCUUCAUCCAUCAGUUUAGAUCUAAAAGCUCCCACUCCCACCCUCAUUUUGACCAAAUUAUGUACCCCACAGGAAACAAACAUAUAUCAGCUCUUAAUAUGAUUUUCUAUAAACCAAAUCAAUACUUUUCUCACACUAUGAGUUAAUUCUAAGGUAACUUGGUUACUUACCAAGUUAAACUAUGUCAAAUAUAAUCGCUGAAAUUUGUAUUUAAUAAAUCGAAAGAUGAUGAUAUUGCAAAUCGGUGUGGUCAGUGUUGUAUCAUAUUCAUCCAAUACCGAUACAGUAUAAUUAAAAGUCUAUGAUAGGUCAAAUACCGGUCAAUAUUGAGCUUACCAGCCAAUAUUUUUCCCGGCAGGUACCAACUAUAAAUUUCUAAACUCUUUUAAUUAAAAGUUAAGAUUUUAAAUUAAGGUUCGUUUUUAUGUAAGAAAAUUUAAUGCAAAUGUUUUAUUCUAAUAUACUUGUAGCUACCUUAUCUACUUAAAGUUAGGGCGUGCAAGACCCAUAUACUAAUCUUAGACUGCUGAAACUAAAAAUCAAUCCCUGAAUUCUUAAUUUCAAAAAGAAGUGAAAAAAAAAACAGAAAAUUAACAUGGCCAAAAGUUACCUGCUCUUAAAAUGCCUACGCUCCUUGUCUGCAUAUAUCCAACGGACAACGGCCAUAGCUUGUCUCCAGCAUCCCUUACCGCCAAGCCUCUCUACAAUCUUAAGCAUCUGAUUCUCAGUAAACUGCAAACCAGAUUGCUUCAUUAUCCUCACAAAUUUCCAGUUCGUCUCAGUAAUCUCCCUACGACUCAACCUACACAAUACAGAAAUUGAACAGGAAUUUCCACCAAAUCAUUUGAAAUUCUACAUGAAAGUCCAUGAAUUUCCGCAAGGGAAAAAAUGAGACUUGCCUAUCAACAAGAACCCGGAUGGACUCUCCCUCGCUAGCCCACCGUUUAGCCGGGUCAUACUCCCGGUUCUCGCUCCCAAAACGAUCAAUUCCCUCAACAUCAACGUCAUCCUCCAAAACCCAUUGUAAAUCCCGCUCAAGCAUCUCCAUCAACUCCCUUAGAUUCUCUCUCCUCAGCUUAUCGCCAUUGAACUCUCCGUUUCUGCUGCUCGCAAGCUCCUUCAGUCUCACCCUUUCAAUCCCCUCCCAUGGCUUCCCAACCAUCAGCGUAACACCACCACCGCUCUUAACAUCGCCAUUUUUAACGGCGAUUGCUUUGCUGAAGCGCUUGUAUUCGCGUUUCAGGGUCUGGAAAUGGGACUCUUCUGCAAGCGCUUGUCGCUGCGACUCGGUGAGCGGCGUUGCUAAGUCCACUUCGGACGCGAGGCGUUUACUCUUGCGAUUGUGUUUCUGGGUUUCCUUUUUGCGGAGAGCUCGGAGGAUUUUGGGAGUUGGAUGCACGCCCUUCUUGAGAAGAGUUUGUUUGAUUUUUUCAGUGUCCGGCUCAAACUUCAAUGGCGGUUGUGGUGGAGGAUUUAGCGGGAGUUGAGGCGAGGGGGCCGUUGAAGCGUCCAUGAACUGGAAGUGACCGUCCAGUGGGAUUUCUUUUUCCCCCUCGAGUCGAGGAUUUUAUGGCCGUAAUCUGAGUGUCGUGUGGCUAAGGCCUAAGCGUGGAAAAAUAUCUUUUAUUAAAUAAAUAAAUUAUUUUUUAAAAAAAAUUUGAAUGUUUCAACUCUACUUACAAGUUUAGUUUUAAAAAUAUUUUUAAAUUUGUUAAUUUAUAAAAAUUAUACUUUUCUAAUUCUAUAUAUAAUAAUUAUACACUUAUAAGUAAAAUCCAAAUUUUGUAAAAAAAGUAUUUGUUAGUUCUAAAUAUACCCAUAAAGCCUAAAUUUCCUAUUGUCUUAUUUGCAAUAAGAAUGCAAACAUUAUAGUAUAACAAAUUUAAUUUUUUAUCUUCAAAAAUUAUUUGGUGUUCAACUUAUAAACUUUCUAACAACAUUUUAAAGUUUGUAUAUAUUUUAUUAAAAUUCCAAACCUUACAAAUCAAGAUACACAUAACUCAUUAUAAAAAUAUCUUCAAGAGGCUAGACAUUCCUUUGUUUUUUUCUGAAAAAAUCACAGUGAUCCCUCGAAACAUCUCUACAAUAAACGUACCAAUUCUAGAAACGUUUCAAUCUGCAUUUUAACAGUACCACAAUGUUCACCCUUUGCUUCAGUAAAACCUACAAAGUGCCUUGUGAUUUCUUAUUUCAUGUUGUGAGACUCGGAAAAUGAAGCUGAAUCAUCAGCUCAUCACUCAUUUCAUCAGACAAUGCAACCAGUGAAGAAUCUGAGAGGAGCUGAGAUAAUCUACAGCCUCCCUCAUUCAACUUUCAAACCCGGCAAAUGUCAAAUCUGCGAAAAAGGCCAAACCAGAAAGACUAACAUUUCUCAUCUCGUCAUAUCAGAAUUUCUCACUGCAGCAUUGUUAACAAGGAGAAAGCAUCAGGAUGAAAGAGCAACACUAACAUAAGGGAAAACAAUCUAAUAUACAAUACAUCUCAACAGUGCAACAGGAACAGAGUGCAUUAAGCAUUCAAAAAGCUCCAUUAGGUCCUUCCUCAAUUAUAAAUAUCUAAUUUACAGAAUAUAGCAGCACAUAAAAGAAAAUAAACAAUUAACCAAUAACCAACAAGUAGACAGGAAAAAUUGUUUGUCCGCGAAGCAAGUAACUGAGGAGAUAUAGCACAGCGAUUCCAGAACAUGAGACUGUUCUUAGCUCUUUGAUUUAGAAUGUUUCACGAGCCAAUCAAUAACAGAAUCAAUAUUGGUCGAGUUCUUGCAUGAGAUCAUGAAGCAGCAAACUUCUCUAUCAGUUAUUGACUUGAGCCCCCUGGAUAGCAUAGUUAAACAUUUUAAUUACCAAAUUUACAGUAUAAUGUGGUAAAGCAAACUUUAUAUUCCAAAUUUGAUUAUUACUUUUACUGACUGGUGAAGUAAAUGAAGUCUUACAUUUCAUCAGUCAGAGCUUGUUUUGUUAGAGCUCCUGGCUUGUCUAUUUUGUUGCCAAGCACCAGUAAAGGGAUACCACUAAGUGAAGGUUUGUUCAGCAAGUCAUGAAGUUCACUUUUUUGAUAUGCUUAAGUUAUCAGGAUCAGCAGCAUCGACCACAUAACUACAAAUCAUAAAAACUAACAGUAAAUUCACCCAACACUUAAUAGAACUUGAUUGGCAGUCUUGCAAUGAUUAUACAAGAAACAAAGAACAUGAUCCAGAAAGAUUUUUGUAAUAAAUACAAAUUUAAUUCAGAAGAAAAGUAUUAAAUUUAUGAGAUUUUCACACUUUCAUCAAUAUUGCAAACAUAGCUAUGCAACAAUUCUACAAUCUAAGAUAUAUUAUUAAAUCUCACCAAAAGUUCGCAACAACCAAUCCAUGAUUAAAGGCAAACAUUUGUCCUAAGUGAAGAGAACAAAAGUCAAAAUUUAAAUAAAUCAGCUCCAGAACAACAAUUCAAGAUUAAAACGGAUUUUUUCUAGCUGCCAAAUGUGUUGAGAAUUGUGCAUGCAACUCAAAACUACUGUGUUUUACCCCGGGUAAAACAAGGAAGAAAAACUAAAAAUCUAAUUUAGAAAGAGAAUGCAAUACUACAAUACCUAAAUACAAGGUUAUUUAAAAAGAAAAAAAGAUCAUCAGUAUCAACACUGAAGAAGGUUCGUUGAAUUUAAAAAAUGCAAACAACGAUUAAAUGGGGAGCUAACAAAAGGCAAAUUCUCUGUAGAUUAAACCAAUUUAUUAGAAAGCUAUCCUGACGCCUAGUCAAUUAAAAUGGGAAAUGAGAUCCUUACACAAUAGCAGAUACUGCACGGCAGUACCGCUCCCACAUACUGCGAAACCUAGGUUGACCACCAAGAUCCCAUAACUUAAUUGUAACAUUUCCCUUUGUUACUUUUCUCAUGUUGAAUCCAACCUAAAAAAUAGACACGAAGUAAGGAAUGAGAACAUUAUUGUAUGUUUUCCAGAAAAAUAAAGGAAAAAUUUCUUAAAAAGUUCAACUGACCGUAGGGAUCAUGUCUUCACUAUACCCACCAGUCUGAAAAGCAAGUUUCACAUAUCAGCCUGAAGAAAAUAAUAAUAAUAGAGAAAGAUACUAGAAGACCUUUUAGGCAUGAUUUACUUACUGCUACAACAUUUACAAGUGAGGUCUUUCCAGCAUUCUGAAGUCCUAUUAAGGAGAGCUCCAUUUCCUGCUUGAAAAAGAGGCUGCAGUAAAAACAGAAAAAAGUUGAGGUUAUGUAAUUUUCAUGAUGACCAAGUUAACCAAGGAUGAGAUAAUACUAAAGAAGCCAUGUCUCCUGGAAUAGCAAUUUCAAAGUACAUGAAUUCCACGAUUGGCGGCUGAAUAGCCACGUAUAGAUCUUACAAAAACAAUGCAUCAUCAUUGUUAACAGUUACUAACCAUACAAAUACCUACGUCCUAGAAGUAGUAAUAUAUAAAAAUCCAGUGUAUUCCGUAUCUCCCUUCAUAUAAACAUUUUUAUGAAGAUUGCUCUUAGAGAUCUUGUUCUUGUGAUGGAUACGCACAAAAAUCCUUUGGCUUCCACAGGAACAGGGAUACACCUCAAAUAAUAUAACAAAAGUAACAAAUUUGUGACAAGCCUAACUAUUAGCCUGCUACUACUGCCCUUUGUUCCAAUAAGUUCAUCAAUUACAGAGAUUGUUGUACAUAGCAUUAUCCCACUUCUGAAGACUACAGAAUGAAAACUAUUUCUUUGAAGUUGAAAUAUCCCGGAAAUAAACUUUCUCAAUAAAGUAUGAAAAAAUGUCAAAUAAGUUUAAUGGCUUCUUUUUUAUUCAUACAAAAUGGCUAGUUUCCAUACUAUUUAUUUCUGUUGAGGCAGAUACACAUCUCUAACAUAAAAGAAUAUGAAUCCAAAGCGCCCACGUGAUAUGCAUGAGAUUUGAGAUAAAAUGCCACCUGUGCCACAUGUCAAGUGUACCCAUCUGUUUAAAAUUAAACAAAUUAAUGAAGGCCUGAAGAUGAAUCUUUUCCCUCCAGGCAUAUAGAAACAAAAAUUCAUUCCUUUUACAACCCAUACCAAGCACCAAAAGUCUUCAAAUUCCUAAUUUUAGUUGAAAGCUCGUUAUUCAAAUAGUACUACUUGAUCUGCAGGUGGAGUUAAAAAAUUAAGCUACCUAAACAUUUCAAGGAGAUCAUAAACUAGGAUCAAACAUCACCCUGGACAAACAAGAUAAGACACAAGGACAUGUAAUAUUAACGUCCUUUUAAUGGAUGUAAAGGAUUCACAAAAUCUCCAAUUCUCUCCAUUUAUGACGUAAAUGAUUCGCAAAACCUCCAUCAUGGUUCUACUAUCCAUAUCCGCUAAGCAGAAAUUCCAACAACUCUAUCCAGACUUCAAUCAAUGCAAGGAAACUUCCUUUGCUCCCACAAUAACUAAUCUCCUUUGUCGUUUUUAUCCUCGGUCUUCUCAUUUUAAGUGUUCCUUCCAUGUCCCUAGUCCCGGGGUGAUGUCAUCAUAUUCAGUUCCAUUCCCAUAAACUAAUACAAGUCAUCGAGUAGAAGAACCAGAAUCAUGAUUGAAGCAUCCCGUAUAUGUUUUUACUUAUCUUCAAUAUGUCAGCCACAAUCAAACCAAAAAAAAAAAAGAUAUUCAGACUGAGAAUAUAAUUUAGCAUACUGUGAAACAUGACAAAAGAAAUCAUACCAAAGAAAAACUGGUAGGAAAUUUUUGCGGAACCCAGAAAGAAUUGCGCUCCGUAUGAGGAGUAAUCGUAACUAAAAAAAAUUGAAGUGCUCCAGGAAAACGAAACCGGAAAUUGAUUGAAUUCCCACAAUUUCCAUAGCUCAUAAGUAAGAUUUGGAAAGGCGCAAAAAUAAUUGCUUAGAAAUCUCUCGAGCAGAAGGUAAUAAAAUCCCCACAGACGACAUGUGAAACAAGGAAUUUUAUAACAACGCAGCUUGCAUCAAAUGCCAAAAACAUAUUCGCAUAUACAUAUACAUGAUCUACACAAUUGAUUUACAGAAGACGAUAUCGAGCGGAGAAAGUAGGAACUGACCUUCGGAGCCAAUUGAGAAAAGCUUCCCACAAACCCAUUGAUGAUCAAAGAACCCGCAACAGAUACAGAGAAUCACAGAGAAAGGGAGAGAAGAGAUCUAAUAAAUUAAUCUCUGUACCAGAAGAAUAAGAGAUUAUUUUCGCUCUCCUUCGUCCUUGAAUUGACCUCUGGAGAACGGAAACUUCUCCUCCUCCCUUUUUUCCUUUUCCUUCCCUCCUUAGCUACUGAUUACCGUAAUUCGUACAUCAUGUGAUUUAUAGUUCAAAUUUUCUAAUUGUACAAUAAUUAGAAUUCGUACAGAUACAAAAUAUUAAAAAAAAUAUAUAUUUAGGAAUAUAAUUACGGUGGGUAAUAAUCCGGUAACCAUGCUUUACUUCUUAAUUUUCAAUACGACCCCAUCUGGGAUCAAUCUGGACCGUCCACGUCGAGUGAUUCCCCCCCCCCCCCUAAAUUAAGCAAAUCAGUGAUUAAGAUUUUGUCAGGUGGUGAAAUCACUAAAACAUUUCGGGCCAAAAGCCGCAAGUUUUUUUGCGAUAUAUUUUAUACGAACCAAUCGGAGGAUGAUUCCACGGGAAGUGAGAGAAAUUCGGAGGCAAUCAUUAAAUGGAAUCACCAAUUUCAGGGGCUGGCGCGUGAACCGCACUGUACUCGGAGUCUAAAUUAUGGGUUGACGUUGAUUGGUGGGUGAGAUUUGCUUAUCCACUGUGCACGUUAAGAGAUCCGACACGUACGGAGGUUUUUAGUUGGCGUGGACGGCUGACACCAAAACUAAUUGGCUUUGGGCCAGGCCCAUUUUUUAUUCGGGCCAACCCACUUAUGGCCGAGCUGGCCCAUUUUUAUUAUAAUAGGCCUAAAUACCCUUUUUAAAAAAAUAAAUAUUUAUUAUAAAAAAUAUUUAGUAUAUUUAUUAUAAAGUUGGACGCAAUGAUUUUGUGACAAUGACGUAAAGUAAUUGAAUAAGAAAAGGGAAAAGCGUCCUCGUUCCAUAUAAUUUUGUCAUAUUUUAAAUGCUUUUUUAUAUUUUAAUCUUAAUAAUAUUUUUAAAUUAACUUUCGUGCACAUCAAGUAUAAUAUUAUAUUUGAUUUAAAAUCAUUCAUUUGUGAUAUAUUUAGUAUAUCAAAUUUUAUUAUAAUUUAUUUAACAUUAGCAACGAAGUAAUUAAGUUUUAACCAUAAAAUUAAUUGAAUCGAAUUUUUAAUACUAUUUUUAUAUAAACUUUUUAUAAUUCCAUGUUGAUAAAUUAAUUUUUAUUUUAUUAUAUUAUAAUCUGCAUCAAAUUUAAUUUUAAUUAUUUUAUAAAUGAUGUUAUGCGAUAAUUUUAGUAAAAAAUAUUAUGUAAUAUAAUAAAUAAGACAAUAGUUGAGUUUUGACAACAAAUUAUAAGUAUUAGAAUAUAAACACUAAAAUAAUUUAUCUUUUAAGUAUUAAUAUCUAACAGUUAAAUUCAUCUAUCAUUUAAUUAAAAGUUAAAACGAACAAUCCACUACAAAAUCUCAUUUAAUUUAAUAUUGUGAUUGUCAGGUGACAUUCGUCAAAAACAUAAAAUUAGAAAAUUAGAGAAAACUCAAAGCAAGCUAUUUAAUCUCUUAGGGUUUAACUAAACACCAAAUUGUACACUGGUUAAUUAGGGGUUUGACCUAAUCACAUCCUGCCUGCCUUGCCAUAUUUAAUCACCACCAUAAAACCCACCUCUCUCCUCUCUCAAGUGCAAACCAUAAAAUUGUGGUCAAAGAUUUGGGUGACAAAAGGGAUGGGUGGAAAUUUAUGUGAUCACCUAAAAAACAGCAUAAAAGUAAUUAUAUGUGUGUGUGUGUGUGUGUGUGUGUAUAUGUGUGUGUGUGUGUGUGUGUGUGUGUGUGUAUGUGUGUGUGUGUGUGUGUGUGUGUGUAUAUGCGUGUGUGUGAAUCCCAAUACCCAAAGGAAAAGAAAGAAGAGAGAGAGAGAGAGAGAGAGAAUGUAUUCAAUUAAUAUGUAGAAAAAGUAUACUUCUUUUCACUUUUAAGAAAAUGUAUGAAGUAAUGUAGAUAAUAAAUUAUUAUAUCAUAGAUUUUCCUAGAAUUGAUUGGAGAGUAAAGAGAGAAAAUGGUAAUUAUAAAAAAAUUAGUACACUUUGAAAUUUUGUUAAUUCAAAAUUAGUGUAGAAUUUAUUUGUAAAUUUAUACUUAAUUUAACUAAAAAAUAAGUAUACAAAUUGAGCAUAUGGAAUUUCAAAACGAUGAAUUCUCAAAUUUAUCAAAGUAAAUUAAAAUUUAUGAGAAGAUCUAUCUUGUUUAUCAUUCUAAUAUAACAUACACUACCCUUUAAUUAUUAAUUAUAUAUGUCACGUGGGUUUAUUUUUGUUCUUAAGAUAAUCAUGAUCAAAAUUGAUUUUUCCAAAAAAGAAAAAAUUAAAAACACAAAAACAAAUAAAUUAAUAAAAAAGUAAAAAAUAUAAUUUAAAAUCGAUAUAAAAUUAAUUUGAAAUAAAAAAUUUUAUUAUAUUUAUACUAUAUUUUUAUUAAGAAUACCAAUGUGAGUGUAUACGUGUAAGAAGCUAAUAAAAAAGAAAUUAAAAUAUAACAACAUUUAAAAGAAAAAUGUUUGUAAAAUUUAAUAUUAAUAGUUUUUUUUUUCAGAGAGAGAGAGAGAAAAGUUUGUAAGAAUUCCGGGGAAGUAGAAAUUCAACUCCGCCCGAUUCGUUUAACUCAUCAUAUUCUCCUUCCUUCAAUGUAAGAAAAAAUAUAUUUUACUAAAUCCAUAACCACAAGCUAUUCUUAUCUUCCUCACUAAGCCAAACAUCCAGCCCAAGCACCGCAAUAAUCAGUUAAAAGUUCAUGCAAUUUCCAGACAAACAUUAUGUAUAUACCUUUUCACUAUUUUCCCGGAAAAUUUACAAUCUGGGUUUGCAAUGUCGGGAUCAAAUGGAAGAGACCAACUUGUUUAUCCGCUUCUUUUUCUUCUGGCUUUCACGUCUGUGAUGCCGCAAAGGACGACGUUGGUUUACGGGUCGUCGUCACCGGUUGAAGAAGGACACCGUUUCAAUAGACCCGAUCCUCUGCAGCACUUCAAAUUCUACCAUGGCGGAUACGACAUCGGAGACAAGCAUUAUUGGGCUGUGAGUUUAAUUUCGUGGAUUAAUUAACUAAUCAUAAAUUAACACCUGGGUCUUUAAUAUUGUCUUUUCUUAUGACGUUUCGUUGAUCGAUAAGAAAUCUGAAUCUGGGUCCACUCAACAAUACGAGUUCCUCGUGAAUAUUGAUAAUGUGUGUUUUCGUUUUUAAUCAUCUUUUUCAGUCUGCGGCAUUUACAGGAGUUCAUGGUUACGCCAUUGCCGGAGCUUGGAUGUUGUGCGGGCUGGGAUUUGGGAUUUUCUUGGCUGUUAAGCAUUUCGGAGGUGGGUCUCCUUCAAGCCCAGAUCGAGAUGUUAAUCGCUCCGAUAAUCACUAUUUCUUAUUGUUCUUGCUGGUUAUCUGCUUCAGUUUUCUCGCCAUGUAAGUGCCUGCACUUUUUCUUUUUUGAUUCCCUUUUCGACUGUUCACAUUCUCUUCUCGCUCUCAAAAGACGCGUAAGUAGAAGUUAAAUCAGAAGAUGACAAGCUUCCCAAAAAUAUAUAGAAAUUUAAGAGGGAAAAAAACGUUGGGGAUAUUUUUCCAGACAUGAUUAUACGGAGUAUCAUUCAACACUCAUCAACUAUAUAUGGAAUGAUGUUACGACUAAAAUACAAAUGAUAGAUUGAAUUGAAUUGUUUGUUUUCAUUAAUUAAUCCAAGUUUUUUCUAAAAAAAUUAUUAAUUUAGACUUAAGUUAUUCAAUUACGAUUAGGGUUAGUUAACGAGUUUGAAAUCUCGUUAUUUUUUGUUACUAAGGUUUCGGAAGUAUAAGAACGUAUUAAAUUUCGAAAGCUCGAAAUUACAAAUUUGUAGGUUGCUUAAACUUGUUUCUCCUUUUAUUUUAGACUUAGAAUUACGCAAAUUUUUUUGAAUAAUACAAAGAUCCCAUAAUGUCUUUACUCGUUAUCAAAACAUUUUCCCUUCCUUCGGAUUUGUUUUCUCAUGAAUUUAUUUUUUUAGAUUUGUUGGGUCCGCAUAAAUUUAAUUUUAAUGAUAUAGAGGCACAGAUUGGGCCGGCACAGAUUAGUCUGGCCCAAGAAAAUAGAUGGGCCAAUUAUUAUGGACCAAAAUUGGGCCAUUCUUUUGUUGUGUGAUCCGGCCCAUAUCCGAACCGAAGCGGACCGGAUAUUUCCGCCCUCUUAUUAUCCAUGGCUUGCCGACCCAACUUGGAACCCUGCUUGCAUUUGCUUUUACCAAAUGAGCAAGUUCAUAUUUUAUUUACUUAGGCAGAAAAGCUGAUAAAAUGUAAUUCAUGGUCUGGAUUCAAAGAAUUGCGACUGGGUUCGCGAUGGCAGCGAACCAGACGAGCUUAAAGAGGACGAAGAAUUUGAAAGAGACCAUUAUGGGAGCCGGAGGCGAUGCUCGGAAAAGCAUCCGCCGAGUGAUGGACGCGUUGACAAGUAUUGAAGAUCUUUUAGUGCCUUAUGAUUCACGAACAGUUCUGCGACUGAACGUUACUACUCAUCGGCUAAGAAAGGAAUACAAUACCAUCAAACGUUUUGUCAGGAAAAAUGGGCAUACAAUUGAUAUAGCCAUCCAGACUCUGUAAGCCAAAGCAAUCCACCUUGUAUUUCCUUUAACCAAAUUAAUUUAGCCUUCAUUUCCUUUUUUUUUUAAACUGUGUUAUAUGAUCUUUGUGUUUAUACAGGUACAUAUCACAUCUUGUGUUGGCAUCGAUCAAUUUGGCACUCUUGGUUGCUGCAGUGGGUAAGUUUGUAUUUGCAGACAUAUAUACACAUAUACAUGUAUAUCAAGUAGUUCAUCAAGACUAAGUUGAUUAGACUAAGGGGUUGCUGGUUAAUUUGGUUCAGUUCUGCUCCUGUUGCAUUGGCACCCUGGACUUGUCAUGUAAGUAGAAUUCAUAUAUUCCUCUGUUAGCUUGACAUGGUAGCUAAAUUGUGCUUGGUCCAAACAUAGCCUGUAGUUCAGUAAAAUUUGAGAAUUUGAAACAGUAAACUGCUUUAAUUGUCUAUUCUUGCAUUUCAGGGUUAUUUUUCUGUGCUGGAUCUUAGUAACUCUGUUCUGGGUUUUGACGGGAGUUGAUUUCUUCAUUCAUACGUGAGUAAAUAUUGCAUAGGGACCUGUAAAUUUCUCGGUGAUGAUGAUAAUAUUCCAUUUUACAAUUGGUGAUAUGACAUAAGUUUUACAAUGGAUAAUAUAUUGGUAUCUGCAGUCUUGCAAAAGAUACUUGUUCAGCAAUUGAUGGGUUUAUGCAGAAGCCCCAAAACAACAGUUUAAGUUCUAUACUUCCUUGCAUGGAUUCGCUCUACGCAGAUAAAAUCCGUGUAGGAAUUGGCUCCACCAUCCACAAUUUCAUAACUGAGGUACUAAAUUGAUUCAUACGAAACUCACAUGUGGAUACUUAUAGUUUUAUCUCCGCGGUGUAGUCUAUUGCAUAUCCAAGUCCGUAGUUUGUGAUAAUUCAGUCAUAUGUUUAUUAUCAUUGUCUGUGUUUGGGACGUGUAGAUAUUUUAAAAAAUUAAACAGAUUUAGGGGAAAAGAAGAAAAAAUUAAAUCGCAGUGACUAAAUAGUAACAAAAAACUAUACUGUACUCUAUUUUUUAUUUGCAUGCUUUUGGUUUGGCAAGGUAGAAGAUGAUGGUUCUUUGCUAUUUAUUUUUCUUCUUUUUCCUAUGUUUGCAGUUGAACUUGAAAAUAAAAGAGUUAUAUGGUCGACUUUUCUUUAAGAUGAAAGAACAUAAUGAUUUUUUUGGAGUUGAAAUGGUAUGUGACCCUUUUUCUGGAGCACCUAACUACAGCUAUGUGCCAGAAAGCUGCUCAAAGAAUGCCAUUCAAAUCGGUGAUUUACCAAAUGUAAGUACAUCUUCUUAACCAUUAGAUGAGAAAAUGAUCAGUUAAGCCAAAUAGAUAGAUGCUAAAGCUCACUUUGGGUUGAGUAGUAGUGAGUUUAAGCUCAAUUUGAAGCUUGAUUUGAUUUGAUUUUUUUUUCCUGCUUGAAUCCUACUCUAGUAAAUUAAAGGUUAAUCUUAGUUAAAAUUGACAAUAUUGAAUUUGAAUUGGAGUUGAGGUUGAUUUAGACAUGUUUGAACCUUUUAUUAUAAAAUAGUUUGAUUUCAUAUUUGGAAGUAUUGAAAGUUGAUUUUCGGCUCGAAAUUGAUCUCUCAAAAAGAUUAUGGUACCAUUUUUUAGGGCAGUUGAAAAACUUUGUUAACGAAAUCUAUUUUAUUCUUAUUUUAAUUAUUAAAUUAUAUAAAUUUUUUCGAGUCGUGAAAAUUAACUUUAUAAAAUUUUUUAAAAAGAUGUAAAACUACACAUUUUAAAUUAUUUCAAAGAGGAGAAUGAAAUAUAUUGUUUCAUUCGACUUUGAAUAUCUUUUCGAGAUUAAUUUGUAUUGCAUUUAAGACAAAAACUCUUAUUCAAAAUUAUAAACAAAAGUUAUUAUAUUGAAAUUUCACAUAAAUUGUAUUUAAAAAAACUAUUUGUUCACAAAUAUAACAUAAAUUCUUAUUCUUAAGUUUUGAUUAAAUACAAUAAAAUCUCACUUAGUUUAAAAAUCUAUUUACAGGUUCUUUCAAAGUUUACCUGUUACAAUCAGGACUUAACAAAAGUUUGCAUUGGUGAAGGAAAAUUUAUUCCUCGGUCAUCUUACAAUGAAGUUCAAGCUUACAGUCAAUCUAUUCAAAAUAUGUUAAAUGUAUUUACAGAUUUACAGAAUUUAACAGAGUGUGAAAUAGUAAAAAAUACAUUUUCAGAUAUUGCCUUGCACCAGUGUCCGCCAAUUAAGGGUUCUUAUAGAUUCUUGUGGGCAUCUAUGUUGGCACUUUCUACAUCAACAGUGGGUUUAGUGUUGCUUUGGGUGGUUAAAGCUUAUCAAGAGAAUGGAAAGUCUUUUUCUAGGUGUUCAUUCAGAGUUCAGGUAUGAGAAUAUAAUGAAGAGACCAUGAUAAAUUGUAGAUUACUUUUGAAAAAUUGAUAAAGAAAUUAGAUAAUUUUGGAUGUUAUCUUAUUACAUAAUAUAAAAGAAAAUAUAAAUGAAGAUAAACUUAUUAUAGGACAACAGAGAGAUAUAGCAGUUUAUACUUAUUUUUAAAGAAUUACUUCAAUAUUUUGCAAAGGUUGUAAGAUAUUCAAAUGAAUAAUGUAUAUAAUGAGAAACAUUAUAUGUUUUUUUAAAAUAUUUUGUAUUAAUUUAAAUGAUAGUAGAAUAUUGUUGCUUUGGGAAUUAUGUAUAUACACAUUUGUAGUUACUAUUGCAAGUACAACAUUCCAUUUAUAUUAAAAAUUUUAGUUCAUAUAAGUUGAUUAUUUUAUGUUAAACAAAUUGACUAUCAACUACUGUAAUUAUUAUAUAUAUAUAUAAAUUUUUAGAUCUUGGUUCAGACAAAAUUACACCAACUAGUCGCAGUAACGGCUAAUAUGACAAAUGACAAGUUUCAUGAAUCUUUAAAAUCAAUAAUUAAUCUAUGAUUUUAAUGUGGGAUUAAUUAGAUAUUACAUUAAUUAAUCUAAUUAUGCUAUUAAUUAAUGUGUAUCUUAUUUUGGUCAACCACUCUGAACAAAUUUCUAGAUGCCACACCUCAUCCGUAGUUCUAUUAAAUCUCAAGAUACAAUUAAUUGGCUUGAUUUAAGUUCCCACCAACUUAAUUUGACGUUAAUGAUUAAUUUAAUUAGCUAAGCUGACUUUAAAAUUUAUGACACAGCAUAUAAGAUUAGAUCACAAAAUUUAAUUAUAAAAUAUAUUGUUAUGGUAAAUUAGAAAUUAAAAUUUAUUUUUAUGUUUUGAAAUUUUAACUAAAUAACUAUCAUAUAUUAAGCAUUUUUAUAUUUAAAAAUAAAAAAAAAUUACCAUGCAACAUUCUUUGAUAUUCUAUAUACACGAGUUUCCAUUAUACAAGAAAUAUGUAAAGAUUAUAUAAAAUAUUUUUCUUUUAAAAUUUUAGUUUAGUGGUUUUCGACUCUGAAUUUAAAUUAUUCUUGUAAUUAAUAAUUUUAUAUAUUGUCAAUAUUUAUAUAUAGUGAUAAAUUGACAACAAAAUAAAUGUUGGUGAUAUGGAUUUAUCUAUAAAUAAAGAAAAAUUUAAAAUAAGUUGAAAAUAUAUUUGGAUUUUCCAUAAUAAUUUUAUUAAUGUAAAUAAAUUUAUUGAUUUUAUCCAUAAUAAUAAGAAAACUGUGAUUUGGAUUUCCAUUUUUGUUGGUUUUAUGUAGAAUAAUAUUUAAAGAAAAAUCCCAAUUUCUUAAAGCAUACAACUCUAUAUUCAACCAACGAAAGAGGAAAACAUUACGACUGAAUUGGAUUUACAGUAUUUAUUGUUUUUUGCUCCUAUAUACGCUCUGUAUGUUCAUGGUUUACUCAACUGCCAAAAUCCAAAUCUUUGCAAUACUCUGGAGUUCUCAACUUUCCCAAGUUGAAGCUCCCAACUAAAUCCCCACACGCAUGCGACGGAGAGAGUGAUGUUUGUAUAUAAGGUUUGGUCCCCAGUCAUAAUCAUCAACUUCUUCAGAUCCAACUUAACCAGGAGUUAACCACGCAACCUCCUUCUCUCGUCUCUCCCGUUUCUCUCGUCUCUCCCGUUUCUCUCGUAUAGUUGUUCAAUUUCACUGUAGAUUUUGGGGACCUGACCAAGUUGUUCAAGUUUCACUGUGUGGUCAGUUAGGUUGGUGUUAUGAAGAAUUGCUUGAUUGAUUCCGGACAGUGGUAGUGCUGGAAGUGAUUUUGUGUUAUUGGACCUCAGAAGAGCUUAUGCUGAGACACCCAUGUCGCGGAAUUUGCCUCAGGUCAUCGUCCCUCGGGUUUUGUCUGGUAAGUUGCUUGAUUUUUGGUUUCUAUUCAGUUUUCUGGACAAUUUGAUUCUGUGAAUGCUCGUGUUUUUUGAUCUUUUUGGGGCUUCUCAAAUUUGUUGAUUCUGGGUUUAAGGCUUGGGGUCUGGGGGGAAGGGGGGUUGUUGUUGUGGAUCCCCUAAAAGGGUUUGAGAAUAAUGGUGGAUGUCAUGAUAGAUUGAAAUCAGUUAUGUAAAUGCACUUUCCAUGUUGGAAUCGAGUGAAUCUUGAACUGAUAAAUCUUUCGAUUUUAUCAAUUGAGAAUUUAGGAACGUUUUCAUUUCAGUAACAAAUAAUCUAUACUUUAUCUCAANNNNNNNNNNNNNNNNNNNNNNNNNNNNNNNNNNNNNNNNNNNNNNNNNNNNNNNNNNNNNNNNNNNNNNNNNNNNNNNNNNNNNNNNNNNNNNNNNNNNNNNNNNNNNNNNNNNNNNNNNNNNNNNNNNNNNNNNNNNNNNNNNNNNNNNNNNNNNNNNNNNNNNNNNNNNNNNNNNNNNNNNNNNNNNNNNNNNNNNNNNNNNNNNNNNNNNNNNNNNNNNNNNNNNNNNNNNNNNNNNNNNNNNNNNNNNNNNNNNNNNNNNNNNNNNCAUUUUCUUAAUUGCAGCAUUAUCUUGGAGAUAAAAGGAAGAGAAAAAUGACGAUGAGGAACAAUACAGAAACCACCACUUUCAAUUUAAAUGCAGGGAGUAGAUGUUCAUUUUCUGUAGUUGUAUGAAGCUUGGUGGGAUUGGUUCUUUUUCUUCAUGUAUACUCGUUCUUAAGCAACAAAGAUGGGGUGCGUGGAGAUCUUAAGUUGCAAGUGAGUCGGCACCCACUAUUCCGUGAACUUGAACAAGUGGAAGAAGAGAAUAUCCGAAUUCCGCCACCAAAGGGUAAACGUUCCCCACGUGCAGCUAAGCGGAGACCUAAGAGGACAACCACACUGAUCGAUGAAUUUCUUGAUGAGAAUUCCCAACUUCGGCACAUUUUCUUCCCAGGUAUCAAAACUGCAUUAGAUCCAAUGAAGGCUUCAGGAAAUGAUAGCUUCCACUACUUCCCUGGUAGAAUUUGGUUGGAUACUGAAGGAAAUCCUAUUCAAGCUCAUGGAGGUGGCAUUCUAUAUGAUGAGAGAUCUGGGACUUACUAUUGGUAUGGAGAGUAUAAAGAUGGAACCACCUACCAUGCUCACAAAAAGGGAGCAGCAAGGGUAAGUAUUUAUUUUUUAUGAUAAUCAUGUUUUGGUAUGUAGCUUGAUUCUAUGUUACUAGCCUUAGGCCUUUAUGGGUAUAUUGCAUAAUUUCCCUUUGCAUGACUAGAUAUUAAAAGAAUUUUUAUGCUAGUUCAUGAAAUUCCUUCUGUCUAGCUUUUUUGCUCUUCACGAAUCUAAAGCUUAGGCUAAGAUGACUUGAGUUGCUCCUUGUAUAGAAUAGGAUGCCUGAUUCUAAUUCUAUGCUCUGCAAAUUAGUUGCUUUUGAUGGUAUUUCCUUGAGAAAUCUCAGAAUAACUUAGGUAGAUUCAACUUGGGAGUAUGAUACGGGUUGUAUACGAGUUGGCAUAGCCUUUGGUGCCAUUGUUAAUAAUACUAUUUAUUUCAUAAAAAACAAAUGACACAGGUCAUGUGACCAUAUUCUCAUGCACAACUUCUGUAUGCUUUCAAUGUUGUUUGGUAAUUGAUGAUUCAAAUGGAAUAUUUGUGUUUGUAUUGUAGAUUCUAAGUUUCCUACUAUCCCAAUUUUGAAAGACAUAUUAUGUUCCCUUGCAACAAAGACAGAACUGAUUGUAAAUAUAGCAUGCAAUGACAUAUUUCAUUGGUAUAAAAAUGGUAUUUAUAUUCACUCCUUUCGGAAGGGCCCUUCCACCGUUUACUUCAUUUCAAUCUCUCAGUUCAUAGAGCUGGUGUCUCCCUGGUGCAGAAUAGGAAGCUCCUAAAGUAAACAUAUUUCAAAAACAGAAAAUAUGAUGCAGAAUCAAUAAAAGGCCUAAAAGUUUUAGAAAGUUAACUAAAAAGAAUAGGAAGAUUAAUUUCUUUUUCUAAGUUUUGGGAAGUUUUAUAAUAAAGAAAAUAAAAAGAUUUGUUUUUCUAUUUCCUAUUUCUAUAGUUCUUUCUUUUUAAUUUCUUUUAUUUUCCUAUUUGCCAGGUUUUCUAGAUUUCCUAUUUUUAAUGCAUUUGGUACUUAUAAAUGAGGUACUUAAUUUAGUUAUUAUGUAAUUUAUUUAUGAUUAUUAGGCAAAUAUUAAGAUAUUACUUCACUUGUUGAGAUUCAAAAUCUUCAAGUCUUGUUCUUAGUUUAAUUUUUUUAAGAAAUUCUAGAAUCUCAAUUUUAUUGAGGACCAAACUUGGAGAUUUCGGAUCUCAAUAAACAAAGCAAUAUUUUAGUAUUUGAUAAUUACAAAUAGUCUACCUAAUAACUAAACUAGUUACCUUAUUUAUAGGCACCAAAUGUACAUAAAAAAAAAAAGAAAUUUUAAAAACCUAGCUAAUAGAAAAAUAAAUUGACUGGAAAAAACUAGAGAAAUAGGAAAUCUAGAAAAAAGGAAAUAUAGGAAAUAGGAAAAAAAUUAUCCUACUUCCUUCAUUAUAAAACUUUCCAAAACUUAGAUAAGGAUAUUAAAUCUUCCUAUUCCUUUUAGUUAACUUCCUAAAACGUUUAUGUUCUUUUAUUGAUUUUGACUUAUAUCUUAUGUUAUUAAAAUAUAUCCAUUUUAGGAGUUUUCUAUUAUGCAUCAUUCUCCCCCACUUGUUUUGAAAUGUUGAAGUAGAAAGAAUAUCAAAUUUAGAACUUGUAUUCUUAAUAAUCGAAGCUUGUGAAACUUGAAAUUGUAAUGAGAAAACAUGAAUAAUUCCGAAAUUAGGAAUUUUGAACACAUACGGAACCAAUUGAGAAUAACAAAAUCCAUAAAAGGGAGAACAACCAAACUUUCCUCAUUGUUGUUUGCUUAUUAUUGUUAGGAGCCAAAGAAGGUGAAGCAAUANNNNNNNNNNNNNNNNNNNNNNNNNNNNNNNNNNNNNNNNNNNNNNNNNNNNNNNNNNNNNNNNNNNNNNNNNNNNNNNNNNNNNNNNNNNNNNNNNNNNNNNGAUAUGUUAGGUAGAGGGGCAACAUGGAAUAAAUAUACAAGGGCAAAAUGAAUAAAUAUGCAAAAUACUAAAGGGUAAAUAGGCUUGAAUCUCUUUCCCCACAAAUCGGAGAGGAGUUGUAAUAGAGAGGAGUGCCUAACAAACCGGCGGUUUCUCCUUUCCGACUCAGCCUAUAAAUAGGCCCGAAUCUGUAUGACAUGAACAAGCAUAAAUUAUUCCUUCAACUAUCUAAGUUUUCUUAUUCUCGCUCUCUCUCUCUCUCUCUCUCGCUCUCUCUCGUUGGCUCUGUCGCUCUCCCUCUCUCUCUCUCUCUCUCUCUCCCCUAUAGAGUUUUUGUUUUACUAUUCUAGGCAUCGGAAGAUAAUAUUGGGUUACCAUUUGAUAACAUGUAUCAUAUAAGUUUCCUUGGAGAGAAUUUCGAGUCCAAAUAGCAUCUUCAUAAAGUUUAUAGGUUACAAAAGAUCGCAACCUUGCAGAGUGUCGAUUGAUUUUAUUUUCUCCACUUAUCUGUAUUGAUCAAGUUUCAUAAAGCGGAUUGUAAACAAUUAUUUGUAAUUGAACUAUAUACUUGAUAGAACGUAACUAGAAGAACUUUGCUCAUUUUUUCAAGUCCAUCUAAUCUUCCUUUUACUCCAAACACGCUUUGUCCAAUAUCAAUUUGUAAAAGUGAAUAAAAAGUGAAAGGGCACUUUUAGAAACCUCGAGAGUUGUUUUGCAGUGGUUUUGGGGUUUCACCUAUCGGGAACUUCUGAGACUAAUGCUGGAGGUGGUGUCAACCACCUCCUUGUGGUGGCUGGCGAACAAGCUGACCCACUUUUCUGGUUUAGGUUUUUUAUAAAAAAAAUUAUUUAUUAUUAUUGUUGUUAUUGUUAUUAUUAUUAUUAUUAUUUAUUUAUUUUUUAAAUGAAUGAGAGACAGGAUGUAUCUGCAAGAAGUAGAUGGAGUAUUUUGGGAAGUUAAUGUUGAGAACUUAGGGAAACGUGAUGGAUUGAAUUUAAGCUCUGAUACCGUCUGUGUCUCUCCUUUUCCUAAUUGGUUACCAUCCAAGAGGAAAUGGGUUUACUUUUCUUGAGUUCUGCAUAAACUUGUCUGUGAGAAUUUCUUAACAUUGCAACCUUUAUGUUUCUAUUCCAUGCAUAUCAGAAAAACAUCACUUUGGUAUUCCUAGAUUUGAUACCUAACAGUGUACUGAUUCUUAAUUUUUCCUUCUAAUUUUUAUCUAAAAAAAAAACAGUGCACUGAUUCUUGUACAUUCAUAUCAAGGAAUUUGGAUUAGACUUGGAAGCAUGAUGAUACUGUAUAAAUGUUAUUGGAAAAUUAAGAUUACAUGUGCUUCAGGAAUAGGUGGUGUAAUUAUGGCCAGUUAAUGUAUCAGAACAAGUACAAAAUGCUCAGAAUAUAUAACUAGUUGAAAUACUUAAAAUCAAUUAAGAGAAUAUUUUUCAACUUCUUCAGUAGGAUUAGAAAAUCAGAGCCGUUGAUAUUAACUUCAUGCAUGGCAUGGAAAAUAGAGAUCUGAACUGUAUACAUGGGCUGAGAAGUGACUUACUUUCUUCACAUCUUCGAAUGAAUGUGUAUACUUAUUGCGCCUUCAUAGUUUAUACAAAUACAAGGCGGCAAGUCAUCAUCACAAGAGAAUCACCUGAUGAAAUUUGGACUCUUAGGAAUGAGGCAAGAUUCUCUCCACUAGCUGUCAAUUGGGCCAAAUUAACUUUGGAUGGAUUAAUUUUCUUAUUUUUCUGAAUAUUUGGAUGGACUACCUACUUAUUUUGCUGGGUAUCUGUGUACCUUGGAAACACACUCUUUAUGUCGCCCAUCUNNNNNNNNNNNNNNNNNNNNNNNNNNNNNNNNNNNNNNNNNNNNNNNNNNNNNNNNNNNNNNNNNNNNNNNNNNNNNNNNNNNNNNNNNNNNNNNNNNNNNNNNNNNNNNNNNNNNNNNNNNNNNNNNNNNNNNNNNNNNNNNNNNNNNNNNNNNNNNNNNNNNNNNNNNNNNNNNNNNNNNNNNNNNNNNNNNNNNNNNNNNNNNNNNNNNNNNNNNNNNNNNNNNNNNNNNNNNNNNNNNNNNNNNNNNNNNNNNNNNNNNNNNNNNNNNNNNNNNNNNNNNNNNNNNNNNNNNNNNNNNNNNNNNNNNNNNNNNNNNNNNNNNNNNNNNNNNNNNNNNNNNNNNNNNNNNNNNNNNNNNNNNNNNNNNNNNNNNNNNNNNNNNNNNNNNNNNNNNNNNNNNNNNNNNNNNNNNNNNNNNNNNNNNNNNNNNNNNNNNNNNNNNNNNNNNNNNNNNNNNNNNNNNNNNNNNNNNNNNNNNNNNNNNNNNNNNNNNNNNNNNNNNNNNNNNNNNNNNNNNNNNNNNNNNNNNNNNNNNNNNNNNNNNNNNNNNNNNNNNNNNNNNNNNNNNNNNNNNNNNNNNNNNNNNNNNNNNNNNNNNNNNNNNNNNNNNNNNNNNNNNNNNNNNNNNNNNNNNNNNNNNNNNNNNNNNNNNNNNNNNNNNNNNNNNNNNNNNNNNNNNNNNNNNNNNNNNNNNNNNNNNNNNNNNNNNNNNNNNNNNNNNNNNNNNNNNNNNNNNNNNNNNNNNNNNNNNNNNNNNNNNNNNNNNNNNNNNNNNNNNNNNNNNNNNNNNNNNNNNNNNNNNNNNNNNNNNNNNNNNNNNNNNNNNNNNNNNNNNNNNNNNNNNNNNNNNNNNNNNNNNNNNNNNNNNNNNNNNNNNNNNNNNNNNNNNNNNNNNNNNNNNNNNNNNNNNNNNNNNNNNNNNNNNNNNNNNNNNNNNNNNNNNNNNNNNNNNNNNNNNNNNNNNNNNNNNNNNNNNNNNNNNNNNNNNNNNNNNNNNNNNNNNNNNNNNNNNNNNNNNNNNNNNNNNNNNNNNNNNNNNNNNNNNNNNNNNNNNNNNNNNNNNNNNNNNNNNNNNNNNNNNNNNNNNNNNNNNNNNNNNNNNNNNNNNNNNNNNNNNNNNNNNNNNNNNNNNNNNNNNNNNNNNNNNNNNNNNNNNNNNNNNNNNNNNNNNNNNNNNNNNNNNNNNNNNNNNNNNNNNNNNNNNNNNNNNNNNNNNNNNNNNNNNNNNNNNNNNNNNNNNNNNNNNNNNNNNNNNNNNNNNNNNNNNNNNNNNNNAAAGGCCCCAUGGAUGUGAUAGCAGGGACAUGACAAUCUUCAGAGAUGAUGAUGGCAAGGCGUACCUCAUUUAUUCCUCUGAGGAUAAUAGUGAACUCCACAUUGGACCACUCACCGAAGAUUAUCUUGAUGUAACUCAUAGUGCACGAAGGAUUCUCGUGGGACAGCACCGGGAAGCUCCAGCCCUGUUUAAGCACGGGGGCACUUAUUACAUGAUCACGUCGGGAUGCACUGGAUGGGCUCCAAACGAAGCACUGGCUCAUGCAGCUGAGUCUAUUAUGGGGCCAUGGGAGACAAUUGGGAACCCAUGUAUUGGAGGGAAUAAAGUGUUUCGGCUCACUACAUUUUUUGCACAGAGUACGUAUGUAAUUCCUUUGCCGGGGAUUCCAGGUUCGUUUAUCUUCAUGGCAGACCGGUGGAAUCCGGCUGACCUGAGGGAUUCAAGGUAUGUAUGGUUGCCUUUAGUAGUUGGGGGACCCGCUGAUCGGCCAUUUGAUUAUAGUUUUGGAUUCCCUUUAUGGUCAAGAGUGUCGAUAUAUUGGCAUAGAAAGUGGAGACUUCCUCCUGGGUGGAGUGUCUCGAAAUGAUACUAGGCUUUCCCCUUAUUUUAGCCGUACUGUAUCAUAUAUGCUGAGGUUCUUUGGUUACUUUUACACUGGUCUUCAUUGUUUUGUCCAUAAUUUUAAAGCUUCUGGUUUUUAGCUCUCACAGCACGAUAACAUGAUGUAGAUGGGUUAAGUGUCAAACACUUCCAGUGGAAACUUAUACUUACUUGGUUAGGUGACUGUUAAUAUAACUUUUUAGGAGGAUGGAUCUUUAUGGAUAAACCCACCUGCUGGAACUUAUUCACAAGUUUAGCCAUCGAUAUCAGCAUCUCAGUUAUACAAAGUUUCUAUAUAUAGUUUCUGAGCAACUGGACCAAAUCAUUGAAAUUCUGACCAUGGACUUGAAGAAAAUACAACAAUAAGCGGUCAAGAUUUCUUUUCAGUGAUUCAGGAGUUAUUGACUGAGGAGCUAGCAUUUCUCCCAAGCAAUUAUGCUAGUACAUUGUUAAAAUAAUUUCCAUCUAACAUUGUUAUAGUUCUUCAGUCAUGCAUGAUGUGGCUGUAGUACUGACUUUUACUGCUUUGGGUGCAUGUGAGAGGGGGAAAAAAAAUUAAAACUAAAAUUAGAAAAGAAAACUUUGAAAAAGGAAACUGGAGAAGACUCUGGAAAAAAAAAAAAAAAAAAAAAAGAAAAUGAUUCAUUUACUGAAGAAGGUACACUGGAGUCCCUACUUCUCAGAUGUGUAAGAAAUGAAUGAGUGACCUAAAUUUUGAAUGCGGCCAAUGUUUUUGAGAUUUAACUUUCUACAAUAUAUGUCUAUAUAUAUAUAUACACACAUAUAAUAUUCCUCCGGGGCAUGUUAUUAUAUGUAUCUGUUACGAAAAGGGCAGCUUUUUUUUUCUAGGGGACUAUGAUGAAUUUUAAGAGGGUAUGGUAUGGCCAUGUAAGGUGACUGAACCUGAUCUGAUCUGAUCUGGGUCUUUACAUAAAGCUGGCAUGGCCUAAGUUUUGGGUAAAGGCUGUAGCCCCCUCCAUUUUCAGGCCUGCCCAAAAUGUCAAUUGCAUAUUCUCUAUAUAUGUUUUAUGUAUGUAUGUAUGUAUCAAUAAAUGAUUCAACAUAAUCAAAGAUUCAAAAGUGUGAGACUACGAGUCUGCUACAGAAUCCUUCUCUUUUGGAUUCAUAAAAUUUAGAAUAACAAUACUAAAAAUAAUUAAAAAAUAAAAAUGCAUAAAUCAUAUAAUAAGAAUGAUUCUUGUGUUAAAUAUCAGAUUAAUCAUUUGCGAAAAAAUAUAAAUAAAAAUACUCAAUCUUUAACGUUAUCGUGACACUUCUAAAAUCAUCGAUUAUAUGAGUUCGAGUUAAAAAAUUUAUUCUUAUAGAUUACGAUAGUCUAUAUAAGCUAGCAAACUUAUAUAGAAGGAGAUUUUUAGGAUUUUUUUUUUAUGUUUUCAUAAUGCACAUAAUAUUAAUUUAUAAAAUAAUUACAUAUAUUCUAGUGAUUAAAAUUAUCAUACUUUUAAACCACAUCAACAUUAAUAUUUUAUAGGUUUUUCAAUAACAAAAGCUAUUGAGUUUAAAAUCAUUUAUAUUGUAUUAUAAUUAAUAUAUAUUUAUAAACUGAUUAAUAAAUAUAUAUAUAUAUAAUUACUUAAAAUUAAUGAAACACUUGAUUAAACUAACUUGGUGGGUUCAUCAUCAAAAUUUACCAAAUUGGCUACAAGUCUAUGAAAAAUAUUGAAGUUGGAAAUAUAUAUAUAUAUAUAUAUAUAUACGGGUACAAUUAUGAUUAGUAAUUAGAUUAUGUCGUGACCACAAUUUGAAAAGUGUAAUUAGCUAGAUAUUAAUUAGGUGUAACCACAAUGAUUAAUUAGAAAAUUUAGAAUUGAAGAAAUGGUAUUACGUUAAGCUAACAAUACAUAAAUAUAUAUAUAUAUAUAUAUAUAUAUACACACACACACACACACAUACUAAACAAGAGAAAAGGAAGAAAUUAUUAUAUUCAUCUUUUUUAGCAUAUAAUUAAUAUCUUUUUCUUUUGUAACAUGUUUCCGGUCGAGCUUUUUUCGCCCCCCCCCCAGGAAGAUAGCUGGUCAUCGUCAAUGGUACAAAACACAGCCCAAAGUUUAAUCUCUUUUUUAAAGCAGAUACAUAUGGGCCAACUUCUUCUUUCUUUUAAUUUUUUCUUAUUAUAAUAUAUAUAUAUAUGUGUGUGUGUGUGUGUGUGUGUAUAAACAGAAACAUAUAUAAGUAUAUAUAUAUAUAUAUAUAUAUAAAGGGAAGAGAGUCUGAUGAAAAGAUUAGGAUCUGAAUCCUAAAAAGCAGUUCCCACUAUAACUCUUUUUUCCCCCCAUCUUUCGUUGGCUAUAAAGUACGACACUUGUUAACGUUGCUACAGCACCAUGAAACUCUAUUUAUUUAUUUAUUUUUUGUUCUUUUGUUAGUAAUUAAUUAAAUUAAUUAAACUUAAUCAAUCAAUUAAUUAGCUAAUUAAUAACCUCUUCUUUUUCUAGGUAUUGAUAGAAGUUUCGGUGGGGGCCAUUGAUAUAACUAGGCAAAUAUAAAGCUAACUUUCUCUUUUUCUCUCUCAAAUGGAAGGUGACCCAUGAAUGCUGAUAUAUCCAUACACACACACACACACAUAUAUACACACACAUACGUAUACAUGCUGGCCACUAAGUCUCUUAGCGGCCUUACGCCACUAAUAGCUAGACAACUUUUAAAAAAAUACAUUUUGAGAUUCUCCAAACGCAGCCCAAGCCCAUUGGCCGUCCCAAGAUUCUGAAGGACCCCCCCCUCUCUUAACAUAACUAGAUAACGACAUUUUAUUUCGCUAAUUUGCUUAACUCGUAAUAAUUUUAAUUAAUUAAUUAAAUUACCAAUUAAAAAAAACAUUAGACAAUUACACAACAUACCAACUCCAUUUGAACAUAUUAAUAUUAUAAAUUAGUGUAUCAUUCAUAUUAAUUUGUUAUAUUAACACCGACCGGUAUAAAUAAUAUAUAUACGAACCUAUGUAUCUUGGUGGGUUAGGGUAUGAUCAUUCAUUCAAAGUAUUUAUAAUUUCAUCACGACCGGUAAUCAAUAGGACGUAUAUAGAGACAAUUUAGGAAGGUCAAUUGUUCAAAUCUAAAUUAUAGACCAUACCCGUUAUCAAAAUUUUAAAUAUUUAAUCUAUUGAUUGCUAAUUUGGACCACGUAUACAUAUAUAUAUAUACACACACACGCACACACAUAUAGGACCUUUACGUUGUUGAGUAAUUUAUUCAUAAUGGAGUAGGUGUUUUACGUGGAAAAUAAUAUAAUGAGAAUAAUUAUUAAAGACUAGGAUAAGAAAAAGGCCAUUAAUUCUUUAAUUUCCUUUGAAAAUAAAUAAUCGCAAAAUUAAGAGGAAGGAAGAUUUAAUUUACUCGGAAAAAUCCCAUAAUUUUCUAUUAAUUAAAAAUCAGACCCAAAUCAAUAAUUCUUUUUUUUUUUUUUUUUUUUUUUUUUUUAUACUUAAAAUUUCUCCAUGCUUUCUUUAAGAUCGCCACCGUUGAGGCUUCUAAAAAUACACACUUCACAAAAUCCGUAGUACCCUCGUCCUCCAAAGCACGUGCCAGAAAAAAAAAAAAAACACGUCACACGUGUGAAAACCACUCACUCAAAUCAAGCGUGUGAACCGCCGUACGUUAUCCUGAAGGCCUCCAUGCACUGGCCCAAACCACCGGCUGGUCUUUCCACGACAAGAAUAUUCCGGCGUCAGGACACUGUGCCAUUGACCACCCCUCCUUGUAUCUCCUCAACAAGGCGCGUACAUCGUCACACACCUCGUCGCUGAACGCCACAGGGCUAAACCCGCCUGCAUGCAAGCGUCUAGACCAGCGCGUGGCGGAUUCUCGCCGCUCGAUGGAGUGAGAAGGCUGACAUGCCACCAGGUCCACGAUGGAUCGACCGGCUGCCCGCUCCAGCAUCAACCGUUCGUUGCUUGUUCGCGGGAAACUCUCCUCCAGCGACUCCAAGUAAACCCUAAACCAUCUUAAGCAUUCUUGAAAACCUUUGAAGAAUUCCAUCCCAUCGACGCCCACGUCAAGAUCGGCUUCCUCUUCAACGACAGUGAUUAUCCUCGGCUGCAGUCUCCUGAAGCUCGACACAACCGAAUCUCUACUGUUACCGACGGUUGUGAUCGAGUGCAGCGUGCCCACACAGUUGAUAGCAAGAGCUUCGUCGUCUUUGAUGUCAAGCUCUGAUAAAUUCAAAUCACAUAAAUCCCCAGCAUGAUGGAUGACGUUGAACUUAAAGGGAACGCCCAUGAGGCGAGCGAAUUUCUCCAUUCGGUUUCCAAUCUCUUUCAUCACCUUUUGCACGGCGGCGGAGCCCGACGACGUGGCGCCGGAUUUGUUGGGCACGACAGUGGUGAGCCGGAGGUGAGGAGUCUCGUCCGUACGAGUGGCGAGAGCUUCAAGCAGAGUAGGCCACUGGGUGCAAUAUGUAUUGCUAAUAUCAAUUAUGUGAAGCUUGGUCUCCCCUUCAAAAGCUUCCAUGAUUGCACCGUUACAAGCAACAUGACCGAACGUUGUCCAGGGGCUUACUUCUUGAAACUUCAACACCGUCUUCCUCGUCGACUCGAAGGAACACGUUUUCUCCGACGCAGACGCCAAAGUCCGGUAGCAGCGGUCGCCGGAAUCCGUCAUGCGGCUAAAGAGAGCCUGCAAGAAGUAAGAAGCGAGCUUCUGGUCAGUAUCUCCGUAGGGAGAACCCAGCUCGUUGAGCAUCCACAUGAGCUGUUGAACCCUUGCGCUGUUCUUGUCCGCAAUAGCGCGUGCAGUCUCGAGGAGAAGAGUAGUAGCCCAGUUGGGCGAAUAAUCGAAAUUGAGAUCAGGAGCAGGGGAAAAGGAGAAGUCAGAAGGGUCGAGCUGGGAAAAAGCAUGGUGGGAUUGAGUGGUGGUGGUGGUGGUGGUGGUGUUAGUGGGCGUAGUGGAGGGGUGGGGCUGGUGAUAAGGAUAGUAGUGAGGCCUAGAAGAAGACGAGGAGAAGUCUUCUUCAUCCAUGAAAAAGUUGAAGCAUUCUUCGUCUUGGUCUUGUUGGUGGUGAUAGGUGUGGUUUUGUCUGGAGGAUCUGGAGCUGCUAGAGGUUCGGCUAGAGGAGUUGAAAGACUGAUCGGAUUGGAGACUGACUAGCCUAAACAAGGUAUCCAUUUAACCAAACAGAGACCCACAUCAAUAAGAUUAGUAUAAAUCACUUUAAAGCUCUGAUAUGUCCCUCUGUUAGGUAGAAGAAGAAGAAGAAGAAGAAGAAGAAGAAGAAGAAGAGUCAAUGGUGGGUAUGGUGGUAUAAGUUUGAUUUUAAACAGAGGGGAAUUGGGAAUUUGGAAUGAUUAAAAUUUAAAGGCAGGAUCUUAAGAUUUGAUUUUUACUAGUUGGGUUUUGUAAAAAAAAUUAUUAGAGAGAGAGAGAGAGGGAGACAGUGUGUGUGUGUGUGAUGAAGAAGCUAAGAGGAAUCUAACUAUCAAAGCAAAUUAUGAAAUAAAAAAGAGAAAAAAUGAAGUGAGCUUUUUCUUUUUUCCUGCAACCGAUGAAGAAUAAUAUGGAGUGGGGUUCGUGUCUUUUUAAAAUAUUGAUGAGGGGAAUUGACUAAUAUAUAUAUUAUAUAUAGUCCUCUUUUGCUGUUUAUAAAACUAGCUAGCAAAAGAUUAAGUUGCCAAACAAUGGGGUUUUCUUCUUCUUCUUCUUCUUUUUUUUUUUCAAAAAUUAAAAUUUGAUGGCUACUGAAGAUUCCAUUUUUAUAUAUGAUUUUCUAAAUCGUUCAUUUAUGUAUUGAGAAUACGUACGUAUUGAUUUAUAAUUACCCAUUUACUUGACUUGUAUGAUUGCCGGUCAUGACAUUUUAGAUGUAAUGCAAACAUUAUUGUAAGAAUUAAAUAAAAUAUAUAGGUAGACAAAAGGUAAUCCGAGUUUUCCUUGAAAAAUAAGAAAGAUAAAAGUGGGGAUAUGAACUAGUUAGCUAACAAAGUGUUUGGUGAUCUCUUCGACAAAAAGAUUACUAUUUAUCAUUUUUAAAGGUUAAACAAAAAAAAAAAGAUAAUUAAGGGGGGAGAAUGAAAUGAGAAAAUGGGUUAGUGGGUUCGCUUUUUCAUUCUUUCAUAUGUAUAUAUAUAUAUAUAUAUAUAUAUAGAGAGAGAGAGAGAGAGAGUGAUAGGUUUUAGUGGGAGCAGGCGUGCCAAUUGGGUUUUGUAUAUACAAAAGAGAGAGAGAGAGAGAGAGAGGGUAUAUAUAUAAAGCUGCCGGCGUGCAUCACCAUCAUCAAACCCACCAUCAAAACUCACUCAUACCACAUUCCUUGCUCCCUAAUCCCUCUCCAAACACUGCCAAAAUUCUCCCACACUUUCCCUCUUUUCCAUACUAAUUACAUUCACCCAUACCAUGCACCCCUUUUCUCAUUUUAUAAUAUAUAUACACACACACACACACACAUAAUACUAAUCUCAUGAUCAUUACCAAUCUCAUUUUUUUUUAAAAAAAAAAAAAAAAGAAAAAAGAAGUCAGAGCUAUGAAUGACUUGCUCGAUUAUUCCUUUUUUUACAUUCAUUAAUUAUAAAAAAUUUUAUACCCAAUUCCCAAAUUUCCAGACCGUGCUUUUCUUACCUUUUUUUUCUUUUUCACAUUCCCAUAUCACGCUUCCUUCCUUCGUAUAUAAAACCAUACCCACUAAUUAACCCCCCUACAUUUGCAUCAAUCCAACUUUAGGCCACUUCUCUAGAUAUACCACUACUCCACUAUCCAUGUAACUUAUAUUCUCUCCCAGCUUCCCUUCUCUCUCUCUCUCUCUCUAUAUAUAUAUAUAUAUAUAUAUAUAUAUAAUAUCCCACACUUACCCAACUCCAAUAAUCUCCCUUUGAUCAUCUAUCUACUCCAUCUCAAUCUUUGUUUUAUAACCAAAAUUUGCACAUAUAAUUAUAUAUAUUUGUGUUGUGGGUUAUAUAAGGUAAGGUAAUGCUUCUCAAAUAUUAUGUGCAUCUCCAUUAAUUCAUUUUUUCCAUAUUGAUUUACUUUCAUAAUCUUUUUUUACGUACCCAAUCUUUUUUUUUCUCCAAACUAGUUUUUAAUGCACAUGAACUAUAUAAUCUUUGUAGACAAUAUAAAAAAAAAAAAAAUUUAUGCAUUUUAAGAAUAUUGAUUGUACAGAUUUAAGGAUUUAGCCUUUUAGGUAUGUUCUUAAGUUUGUGUUGGUUUAAUAAUAUAUAUAUAUGUGUGUGUGUGUGUAUCUAGUAUUUUGUCUGACUCUUAUGAGUUUCAUAGACAUAUAUAUUUGUUUGUCAAUGAUUAGGUAAUUCCAUGGUGUUGGACUAUUUGGGUAGUAGACCCUUUGUUGAAAUCUGGGUUUUAAGGAAGGGUGUUUCUUGAAGAGCUUGUCAUUGAAGAAGACAAAGCAGUGAGAGAGUCUAUACAUAUUGCCCAUUUUCCAAGAAUUAUACCUGAUGAAAACACACAAAUAUACACACACACACACACAGAGACAUAUAUAUAUAUGUAUAUAUCUAUUUAUAAAUAUUCCCCACAAAUAAUAUUCCAACUUUUUCAAAUUCCAACCCCACAAAAUUGCAGUUGUGGAGGGGAAAGCUGUAAUUAAUUGUUAAAAAUAUCAAUAACUAUAAAUUUAUUUUUUCAUAACACUAUAUUAAAUAUUUAGUAGCUGGUACUCUACUAUGUAUUAUAUUAUUUAAAAUUUUAAAUUAUUAAUAAAAUGUAGUCUGAUUAGUAAACAUAUAUGUUUUAAUGUGGAAAAUAUGCUAUCAGAAACUCCCCUACGCUUUUAGAUUAUUGAUAACAACUCUAUAAUUUUAUACUAAUUAAUAAUUAUUUUCUAAUUAAUUAGACUAACAGAACCGAUAAGACAAAGACUUUAUAAAAGGAAUUUAAUUAAAACUUUAUGCUAAUCACAAUUAAUAUUAAUUUAAUUUGUCAGGAUUAUGUUGCAAAAACAAAACAAAACAAAAAAAAAAGGUAGGAUUGAUAAGACAUUAAUUAGAUGAAAUGUCGCUCCAUCAAUUUUGGUUUCUGAUUGGGACGGUUUUUGCAUAUUGUUCAUUAAAUAAUUAAUAAUUAAUAAUUAAUUACUAAUUACUAAUUAUUAAUUAAUCUUUUGCUAGACCUCAUUUGCUGGCUUUUUUUUUUUUUCCCUUUUUUUGUUGAUUUGUUUAAUCUUCUCUUAUUUAUAAGCUUAAUUGCAACAAAAACUAUUUUAAUUAAUAUUAAAAUGAAAGGUUUAUAAAAUAAUUGUCAGCCUUCUUUUAGGAAAGAAAAAAGUUAUCUUGAAUUUUUUAUUAAUUAUAACUACUAUAGUUAAAUAAAUUUUACUUUAAAAAAUAUAAUAAAUUCAUAAAAAUUUAACAUAAUUUAAUUAUUGUAACUUAACAUCGUAUUAAUAAAUUAAAUAAAAUAUUAUAAAUCAGCAUUAUCAGUCGGUAACAAAUUUUAUGUAUUUAAUAAAAUUUAAAAUCAUAAUAUUUGGGUAAAAUAUAAAAUUUUUAAAUAAAUAAUUAUGUUGACAUAUAUAUAUAUAUAAAUUAUGUUACAUCAAAGAAAAAAUUGUUAAAUGUUAUAAAAUUACAAAUGAAUUGACAUAUCUAAUAAAUUAAGCUAAUAUUGAAUUCAAUACAACUUUUCAGAAAUCAAUAUUAUUAACAUCAAUAGUAUUGUAUUAUUUGAUUAUACACAAUUGUAUAUAUAUAUUUAUUUAUUCUUUUCCCAAUUGGUGCAAUAAGAUCAUUCCUCGUGUAUAUUAAUGUGUCGUGGUGGACCUUGACUCUUUCAAAAAUAAUUUCAUAUUAAUUAAAUUGGGUUACGUAAUUUUUCUUUAUUAAUUCACUGCUGUUACGUUAUUAAUCAUGGUAAAUUUAAUUAAAUUAAAUUUAAAAAAAAAGGGAUUAUAAUAUUUGUAGAAACUAAUAUUUAAUUUCGGUCAAAUCAUGUGGUGGGCAUGAUGCCAUUAGAGUAAUUAAUAAUAACUCACUCAGCUCUAGGUGAUAUAUGUGCAUUCCGAAUUAAUGUUUUUAUUUUGGGGACCAUUAAUCCCGAAGCAUAUUACAUUCUCGCAUAUAAUAUAAUCUUUUUAUAUUUUGCUUUGUAUACGAUUAUUUAAAUAAUAAAAUAUACUUAUAAGCCAGAAUUAUUUUUAAUAAAAAUUUAUANNNNNNNNNNNNNNNNNNNNNNNNNNNNNNNNNNNNNNNNNNNNNNNNNNNNNNNNNNNNNNNNNNNNNNNNNNNNNNNNNNNNNNNNNNNNNNNNNNNNNNNNNNNNNNNNNNNNNNNNNNNNNNNNNNNNNNNNNNNNNNNNNNNNNNNNNNNNNNNNNNNNNNNNNNNNNNNNNNNNNNNNNNNNNNNNNNNNNNNNNNNNNNNNNNNNNNNNNNNNNNNNNNNNNNNNNNNNNNNNNNNNNNNNNNNNNNNNNNNNNNNNNNNNNNNNNNNNNNNNNNNNNNNNNNNNNNNNNNNNNNNNNNNNNNNNNNNNNNNNNNNNNNNNNNNNNNNNNNNNNNNNNNNNNNNNNNNNNNNNNNNNNNNNNNNNNNNNNNNNNNNNNNNNNNNNNNNNNNNNNNNNNNNNNNNNNNNNNNNNNNNNNNNNNNNNNNNNNNNNNNNNNNNNNNNNNNNNNNNNNNNNNNNNNNNNNNNNNNNNNNNNNNNNNNNNNNNNNNNNNNNNNNNNNNNNNNNNNNNNNNNNNNNNNNNNCUCUCUAGUUUUCAAAUCUUAACUUGACAAAAAAGGUGGACUUACGUUCCAAAAGGCAAGGAGGGGAAGGAGAGGGAGAAAAGCUUAUCCACAAGUUUUUGAGAUGGAAAACUUGGAGGAAAACUUGUGAGCAGUGAAAGAUACUGAAAGUAAAGAGCAAGAAUAUCUAAAUCUUUUGUUUCUUUCCUGUGGCUAGAGGUUGCAAGUGGAUUUGUAAGUGAUCCAAGCCUAUUAGUGUUACAUAUCACUUGUUGUGUGAAUCUUUAAAUGAGAGAAUUAGCUCAGCUCGACAUGUCAGCUCAGGAAUUUGGACUUUGCUGGGCAUGUAUGGUAACUCAAGUCUUAGCCCAUUCACAUAACAUUGUGGUUCAGGUCUUCUGGGUUUUAACUUUUUAUCCACCAAAUUCUUUUUCUUCCUUAUUCUCAAUUAUGUCUACGUGUAUAACCUCUAAAAAAAAAUCGAGAAAUAUAAACCAAAUUCUGGUUCCAAACAAACAAUCAACAGAAUUUCACACUAAAAACCAUUAGUGUGUUUCCUUAGAGUGGAAUCAGUAAAAUGAGAAAGGUAGAUAUGAAAAGAAUUGCUCAUCUUUUAAUAAGAUUAUGACCAUUCACCACGAGAAGUUUUUGGACCAAAUAUGCCUCAGAACUACCGUGGAUUGUGCUCCAUGAGUCUUAUACUACAUACAGACUAAACAACAAACUUUAUCAAUAACAUGCCCCUUUUACUCUGAUUCAUAUAUAAUUUUCUACAAGGGUAGUUUUUAAGGCAAACUAAACCAAAUACAAAGCAUAUUUCAAAAUUCAGCCAUUAUGGUACAAGAUUAGGGAAUUCUCACCAGGCAGAAAAGUUUUUAAAUUCUCCCGUUGAAAUCCCCACUUUUCUUUUCUUUGAUGUCGCAUUCGUUGCCAAGCUAGUGUCAAUCGCAUUGGUAAUUGGACCAGAUCCAGCUGGAGCAUUCCUUGCUUUCAAGUACUUUCCAACACCAACACCACCCAAGGAACCAGAUUCUGUUGUUCCUGUUCCAGGAUUGCUAUACCAUGACCCAACCUUAUCCUGAAAUGUGAGAGAAGGAAAAACAAGUGAUUAUCAGGAAAAAAGAUAUUUAAACAAAAAGGAGAAAAACAAUUCCCUAAUACAAAAGGGGGUAGAAGCAGACAUUCUCUUCAUCAUCUAUCUUCUUCUCAUUUUUGGUCUUCUCUUCAUCUUCUUCUUCUUCUUCAUCAGGCUCUGAGUAUGGAUUAACAAAAACAGUAACGCUAUUUAUCUUAAUCUCCUCCUGUACAAGUUACACAAGAACCAAAGAAAAGCUUAGACAGUGAAUAGAAGUAGCUUCUUUCAAGCUAACAGUUUUUAUGAGAAGGGAAAUGUCCAAGCAUUUUGAGGUCAAAGUUCCAGAACACAUUAUGAGGGAAGAAAUUCCUAAACAAAACCAAACAAACCGAACGUGUCAUGCACACACGUAACCUGAUUUUUGUCUCCAACUUAUGGCUUUCAUAUGCUACAAGAUGAAUAUUGCAAUAAAACUUAGAAUACAUAAUUUCCAGUGCUCACAUUUUUCAAACAGCAUCUAACAAAGAUUGAAUCAUUCUCAAUAGAAACUGAAAAUAUCAACUGAAAGAGACAUGUUGACAGUUCAAACUGUGUCAGACUAAACAGAUAAUAUAUAUUGUUAAAUGCUACAUUUGCCAUCAUUCCAGAAAACUCUCAUUUAGUAAGCAGAUUGUUGAGGAUGCACUGUAGAUAAAAAAGUUUCAAAUAAUCACUAAAUGUAAAGGGAAAACUGGAAAUUAAUAUUCACCAGAGGUCGGUCAUCGUCAUCAACAGGAACCUUUUCCAUUGCUGCCAGUGUAGUCAAGCCACCAACAACUCCACCAAAAACUGUAUGCUUAAAGUUUAAAUGAUUUGCAGAUUUGUACAGGAUGAAAAACUGGGAACCAUUUGUGUGCGGACCACUGUUAGCCAUACUGACAACACCUCUUCCAGAAUGAAGUAACUUCGAGUUCAGUUCAUCUUUGAAGGACUUUCCCCAUAUAGAUUCACCUCCUCUCCCUGUACCGGUGGGAUCACCUCCUUGAAUCAUAAAGUUCCUAUAUGCAGCAGGCUUAGUCCUACAGUUAUACUAUAAGAAAAAACUCAGGAUAGACAAUGCAAAAUAAGAACACGUAAUGUACCGGAUGCUUCUGUGAAAGGCCACCCCAUUGUAGUAACCACGUUCACAGAGAGAGAUGAAGUUCUCACACGUCCUGGGAGUUAUAUCACAGUGAAGUUCAAUGUUCAAAUCACCAUGUGUUGUGUGCAACUGAACAUAACCUUUCUUUUUGGGAUUCUUCUCCACUUUAAUAUAUUCAAACUCAUUUUUGGUGACAGGGUCAAAUGAAGUUGAAGUGAAUGAUCUCGAAGCAGCGCCAGAACUAAAACGGCUCUUUACCUGAAAAUAAAACUCAUGUUAAUACUAACCAUGAGUAGUUCAACUGUACAUUAAGAUUUAUAGACAUAAAAUAUUCAUCUAUGAGAUAUCUAAAUAUGACCAAGAAAAAAAAUCCAUCACCUAGAACAUGAGAAUUAAUUUUCUUCCACUGUAAAGAAUUUAUAUUAAAAAUUAUCUAGUAUUUUAUUAGAAUAUCAAGUAUCAAUUGGAUACCUAAAAAUAAUAUUCUUGCACAAUAACAUUUAUGUAAAUAUAAUAUUCAUAUCUAUGAGAUCCUUAGAUUUGACCCAGAAAAUAAAUCUAUCGCCUAGAACAUAAGAAUUAAUUUUCUUCCACUAGAUAGAAAUUAAAUUAUAAACAAUAUAUAGAAUUCUUGUAGAAACUGGAUACUGAAGUUAAAACUAACAGAACAAAAAUAUCAAUUGGAUACUUAAUGUCAAUUAACAUGCACAGUUCAUGUUCUGAAAAAAUCAUUUCUACUUCAAAUGAAAUAUAUGAACUCCAAGCUGAUGAUCCAUGGCUGUUUCUGCUGCUCAAGGAUGUGCAUUUUUUUUCAGUGGGGUGAGAAGGGAGUUAUGACACCUAAGAGAAGUUAAACAUAGAGAAAACUUACCAUCUUAGCAUUCACAGGCAUCCUCUCACCAGCCAUGUGCAUAGCUAUUCGUGCAGCAGUUUUAUCAGUUGGUGCAGCUUUUGCUGCAGCAGCACUUCUUCCAUGUACUGAUGCAGAUGCAGCAUCUACAAUACUAAAAGCUUGUUGGGCUUUAGCUUCUCCCUUUGAAUCUGAAUUUGGACCCUCUUUGAUGCGUGACCUUGCUUCUAAAAUGGCUGCGAGAGCAGCAGCCCUUUCAUUUUGUGCUUUACUGCCACCUCCACCGAGCAAUGCAGUUUGCCUCCCUUUCUCAGUUCCAAGCUCUUGAAGCAUCUGCUGGAUAUCCCCAGUAAUAUUAAUGUUAUACCCAGGGUCAGAGCUCAUUUUUUUCAGUUCUGAAAAACAGAUAUUGAAAUUGUCAUUAUCACUGAAAAUUUUAUUAAGAUUGACAAUAAAAAAGAUUAAGUAUGAACAUUUAAAAUCUGGUCCUAGAGUUAGGAAAAGGCUAUUCACCUUCAUCAUCAACUUUCAGACUAUGUUUGACAUGAUCAAACUCCAGGGUAACUCUAAUGUCAAGUGCAUUAGGAUUCUGAAAAACACAACAGAAAAUAUGGGUAGAUAAGUCAUUUACAUUCUAGCCAGAAGAAUGACUAGAUGCAGAUCAUUCAGUUUGUAUAUACUACCUGAAUGGUUAUAAGGUCUUCCUUUGCGAAUGUUUCAUCUGUUAGAAGCUCCUUCCAGUUCUUAGUCUUGAUGUUUAACUCUUUAAUUGCCUAAAAAGAGUAACAAGGAGCUUAUAGUAUUCCCACACUGUACAUAUAGAACAGAGAAAAUGACUCACAUUGACUAUUGAAGAGAAAACAAACCUCAUAACAGAAGACAUUUCCUGUAGUCUUCACCGCAACGAUGUGAGUAAAUUCAGUAAAAACUUUGUUUAGGACAGGACAAUGGUAUUCUCCUACAGAGAAGGUAUCCAAGAGUUUCAGUAUACCGAAGCUAUUAGAAAUAAGGUAGAACCAAAAAGAACUCAAAGAGAAAGCAUAAGAUUUGCAUUUAAAAACAAGACCAGCAAGAACUCAGAUCACAUUCCAACAUAGCCAGCAAUAAAACCAUCAGAAGAAGGUUGCUAGCAAACACUUCCAUCCAUAUAAAUAUUUCGUGAUUCUAAGGUUGCAAGUUGUAGCCAAAGUUACCAAAUACUAGACAUCACAUCAAUAUUCACCUUGGGACUUCUAAUACCUUCGUAUGCAUGUAUGGCCAUCCCUUGUGCUUUUUCCUUGCACAAUACUGAAAUGGGAAAAAUGUGCAGUCCUAUCCUACCUCAAAAAACUAGUGGGAUUACUCGUUGAGCAACCAGGCAAAAUGAUUGCUGAGCUAAUCAUCCAACAUGCACCACUAAUCAAACAACCAUGCAUUUUCCAUGCAGAAAAGCAGUUUUGUGGAAAACAAGGAAAACUCUCGACAGUGAAAAGAAUGAGUUACUCAAAUUCAAGGUAACUUUAGUGAAGUCACAUAUUCUAAAUUAAAUAAACUGGAACUGUGUUAGAAACACUUCAUAGACAUAUCCUAAAUUAGUUACUUUUUUAUUUAAAAAAAAAAUAUCUAGAAAUUAGUUGCUUGUUUUUCCAUACAUAUGAUCUGGACUAGAUCCCAUUCAAAAAAAGUUCAAUCUUCCAAAACAAUUGGCAACUUGUGGAAGGAGGACCCACAAGCAAGAUAGAUACUAGCCUAAUCUGCAACUGUUGGCAAUUUGUCUAAGGACCUAAAAGCAAGGCAGAUACUACCCAAACAUGUCUAAAUUAGCUAGAGUGACCUUGAAAGGAAGCAACGAUAUCUUCAAUUGUGCUGCUAAUAUAUUGAUUCCCCAGUGAGUGCUUGCAUCUUAGAACUAUUCCAAGUAAACCAUUAAUACACGCAGAAAACUUUUAGCGACUCUACAAAUUGAUCUAUACCAAAUAACAGAUUCAUGUAAAUGAAGGUACCUCCAGCUUCGUUUUUACUAACAUCAGCCCUAUUAAAGAAGACAUGCACAUAUAUGCUAGUCAAAAGGACAAAUCUUUUUCCAUCAAAGCACUCAUUCAGUAGUAAUUUUUAUUUCAUUCUCCUGUCUGUACCCUUUACCUCUGCUUAUUCAGUGAAAAUGAAUAAAGCAGCGAACUCUCACGACCUGAAGCAAAAAACAUCCCUACCACCCGAAAUCAAGCAUGCAAACCAAAACAAAAACUUUCAUGCAAUGCAGACCGGACUCAAUGAAAAGAAGACGCUAACCUUCAGCAUUCUUAUGAAAAGUAAGUGCAAUGAGGUCCUCUAGCUUCAAUGGAGCUCCAGUAACAGGAUGCUUCCCGUACUUUCUAAUGUAAGGCAUGAUAUUCCUGCAAAACCAACAAACCCAAUAAGACUCCAUGAUUCAAUAUUUAAGAGGAAGAGAAAUUGCAAAGCAGGAGAAGUAACAGAGAACUAUGAAGAAAAGAUACAGGGACACGAACAUUAUAUCGAAUACACUGCCGUCAAUCGUGCAUACCGGAGUCUCAAACGGCGUAAAUGCAAGUCUGCACCAAAAAAUCCCAAUUACAAAGAUAAAAAUUAUAAGAGCAGGAUGCAACUAUAAAAUACUGUAUAUACAUACGCAAACAUGAAAAUAUAAAACGACAUGGACAUACGCGCAGCAAUAGUAGGGAAGGCGUUUGAAAGGGGUACGGGUUUCUCUGGAUUUGGCGCCACCCCAUUCUGUUGCCCACUCCGUUUUGGUUAUGAACAUUCUGUCCUUGCUAUGCUGCUUCUUUCCCAUCUCGCCGUCUCGCCUUUGCUCUCCUCAAGAUUACCAGCAAAUCAACUCCUGAUCAAAUUUGAUUAGGGUUUAUGAUUCUGGUUUUGGUAGUCUGGCUCGCUAAUUGAGCGACUGCGUACUUUCCAACACUGAACAACGAGAAGCUGAUGUCUUUGAUUCAGUUACUUGAAGAGGGAGAAAGAUAGGAAAGCUGCCGUUAUAUUUUUGGCGUUGGAUGGGCAACCAAAUUUCUUCUCUGACCUUUCUUGAGACGGUGAGCAUGCCGACUCCGACCCGGAGCCGAUGUGAUGUGAUGACGUGGAUCACCAUCUAGCCCAAUUAAGCGAAAGUUUGAGCGCUUGGACAAAUUAAGAUGUAAACUACAAUAUAUACGGAAGCCCAUUGGGCCAUGAUAACUGGGCUGUCAAGCCCAUUCUUUUCUGGGUCUCACCUCGGGUCCGUCUAACCCUGAAUUCUUUCUGCAAAAACCUCGCCCGACCUGCACUGUGGAGAGGAGUGAAAAUGAGGGGUUCAAUGGAUGGUCAUGAUAGCAGUAGCGGAGAGGAAGACGAAGACCCCCAGUGGAAAUCUGCCAUCCAAUCAAUUGCUGCCACCACCACUUUUGGCUCCACCUGCAAUGGUUCCUUAAGCACGUCGACAUCCACUGCAACGACAACCGCGAGGACUUGUAGAGAAGAUGAUGAAGACUACUGGUUUAAGCCAAAGAAGCUCAAGCAUUACCAAAUAAAGGUCAUUGCUCUCCUUUAUAUAUUCAUAUAAUCUUUUUUCUUGCUCUGACUUCUUUAACAAAAAUCUUUCUUCUUCGGGGAAUGAUUUCGGUUUCCUCCAUGAAUUUCUGCCGACGAGUACUAUAGCUUUACUAGCAAAAGUGAAUUGAACAUGCCUUUUGCAGUUUUUCCUUUAAAUUAACAAUUAUCACUGUCAAUGCUUAAUCUCUCAAUCUCAAUUAACCAUGCCAUGGACUUCGUGGUUUUCUCAGUUUCUUAACUAGCUAAAUUUUGCCAGGAACCAAUCAAAGACCUUCCACCUAAUUAAUAAUUCACAGGAAAAGGCCAAACCCAAGAUCGGGGCUCAAGAAGCUAUGGUCUUUUCCAAUGGCCAUUGGGGUUGAAUUUUGGCCUAACCGUAUGAUAAUAGUUGGUUUUUGUCUUCACUGGUUUUCUUUCUCUCAGGGACAGAAGCUUUUGGAUGAAAUCCUAGAGAAGACAUUAGUGUUUGUAAAGCAGGAUAUUCCUUUGAUAGAGGAUGAGCCUGAAAAAGAAGAAGGUGGAAUUCGAUUGUUCAAAUAUUCUUCCCCCGGUAUAGUAUUUGAUCGCGUAGGUGAGUGUAUCUAAUUAUUCAUUCUGCCUUUUUUCUCUCACAAUGAACUUUUGGAUGCCUUCUUCAGUUACCAUUGUGGGAUCUUGUAGGUUAGAUUACAUACGAUUCAACACCCUCUCAAAGUGGCAACAAAGCCACAGUGUGGUCAUGGUGAAAAUCUAACAUGCCUGUGGAGGAUGGAUGAUUUAGAAUAGUUUUAUUUUUAAACAGUCAGGAUCUUUUCUAUUUAAUUUAAAGACUGAAACUGUUGGAGGCCAUAAAUGUCUCAGAGGCUUCUGAUUAGUAUUCGUGAUCAAUUCAUCACCCAUUGCAGCUAGUAUUAUUAUUAUCACCAUUAUUUAGUUUAAUAAGUUGCUGUAAGUGAUUGGCAAAGGAACCAAAAAAAGCCGGCAAGCAUGCCUUGCUUCUGAAAAAGUACUGGCUUCCAUUUCCAUGAGCUAUAUGGAUCUUCUCUUUUUUCCUCCAUUGGAGGCCAUGGGACUUGUAGGCCAUAGAAGUGGAGGUAGUUGUUCAUUUUCUUUAGGUCCACAUGCCUUCAUGUGAGCAAGAGAGAAAUCCUCCGGCAUUAUUAGGUGCAUGUAUGAUCCAGUCAUUGUAUCUCUAGUUAAGUUAUCGAACCAAUCUAUAGAAGUUUUGAUCUGUUAAAUUAGACUAUUCUUGGAGUAAAUUUUAAGUGUUAUAGAAUUUUUAUAAAAAUAUACUCUUCUUUUGACUAUCAGAUAAAUAAAGUCGUCCUAACUAAACCAAAAAUGAGUUCAUAUGGAAUUUUUUUUAGAACAACAAAUUCUAAUUAUAUCAAUUUUAAUACAAUUUGAAAUGUAUUUUUUCAACUUCAGGUGAAAACCUGUACAAUUCAAAAUUUUGUCAUCCUAAUAACAGUAUACAACUUCUCAGAACUGAAUUGUGUAGCUAUAUAUGAAUUCUAUAGUAUUUGUAAAUUUGGUCCAAAAAUAGCCUUAAGGAAUUUGAAUGAUUUGCGGGGGGUUUCCCUCUCUAUUUCUCUCAUGCCAUUUUGAGUUGAUGACCGAAGAUUAUGUUUGUACUACCAGAUGAAGUUCAAGGACCCAGAAAAAGACCAAAAAUCCUUCCUGGGAGCAGAAUUGAUGAGAAAUCAAAGGAGGUAUGCUUUUUUCUGUGUAGAUUCUCCGUUAUGAUUGUUGAUGUACUUUUUACUUUUCUUGUGUAUAUUUCUGUUUUGCCUGAAAAUUACAUUGGUUUGCAGUUUAGAAAAAAGCUCAAAUCAGUUGCUUUAGAUGGGGUUGAUAUACUGGCUGCUGCCAAAGAUGCGUGUCAAAAAUCAUUGGCUAGACAGGAAGCUAAAGAGGGAGCAGCAAAAGCAAAAGCCAAGAAAGAGGAAGAAAGAGUUGCAGAACUGAGAAGAAUUAGGGGGGAGAGAUGGCUCCCUUCUAUUGCCAGAGAAAUGCAGGUAACUUCAAUUUCUAUCUAAUCGCUCGUAAUGCGAGGUUCUGCUUGCCCAAAGUUAUCAAUACAUGCUUUGCCAAGUACUACUACUCACUAUUUAUUUAAUCUUUCUGCUCGGUUAAAUCAAAAUCUGAAGAAACGAGCUUAGACUUGAAACCGAUGGCCUGAUUUUGUCUCCUCAAUGGUUGAAAUGAUAUCUCGAAGGGCUUGCUUGUUGCUUAAAACCAGACAAGUCUUGGCAGGAACUUCUGGGUUGACUUGUACCACAACUCAUAGCCUGUCUGGUAUUGAAUUUAUCUUAGAAAACAUAUAUAGUGGUUUAUUGAGAAGUAUAAUUUCCCUAAUAUGGUUAGUGGUAAGUUACAUAUGUUUGAUUCAAUAUUUUCUUUACCAGUGUCUACUAUGCCACAUACUCUAAGAUAAUCAUUAUGACACGAUUAUAAACAAACCCUACUAAAGAAAAGAGGGAGAGAAGGCGAAAGCCUUCUGGAGAUAGUGAUGAUGAGAAGUAGAUUGUUUUAGAUACAUGGAGGAUUUAGUGGUAAGUUAGAUGAGCCGCAUCAUAAUAAUUAAUCCUAAAAUUUAUUUAGCUGACAAUCAUUUUAAUUCCUUGCUUAUCUUUCUAAUCUUCUUUGUUCUUCCUCCUAAUUACCCCCUGCCCUACACUUUUCCUGCUUAAUCCCCCUACUCCCCUUUCUUCCCUUUAUGGAGAAUUGUUGAAAUAUCAUUUGUACAUAGCAAAAAUAUUAAAGUUAAUUUCUUACUAUAUGCUUAUAAACAAUCUUAGAUUUUCUAUUCUAACUUUAUAUUCUUAUUAUCAACCUUAAAUAUUCUGCUCGAGUUUACUUGUCCCGUAAUAAUGCGCAUUUUGCUUUUUUUUUUUUCGAUAUUAGUAUGAAUUACCUAUUUUUUUAACACUUAUUUGUAUUUAUUUUUAUCGAAAAAUGAUAUUUUUUUUAUAAAAGAAAAUUAGCACAUAAAACUAACUUAAAAAGCUCUAUGCUUAUAUAGUUGGAUUUCUUUUUCUGUUUUGGCAGUUAAAAAGUUGGAAUUUGGUAAAUUAUUUUUCACUUUGAUAAAGGUAAAAGUGAAAAUCUAAAAAUAAACUAAAAUAAGCCGAUGCAGCUGUAAUUCUCUGAUUGUAAUUUAUAAAUCUCAGUAACUUAUUUAGUUGUGUUUAAAACAAUGAAUUUUAGAUGAUAAAUUAUCAAAUUAUUUUUUGAAUUUUGAUAAUUAUCACAAUUUAGUUCAUAAUAUUUAUUUUUGUUAUAAUUUGAUAUAUGUUCGCCAAAUAUUUAAAAUAAUCAAUUUUGUUAAAAAAAAUUAAUUUUUGAAGCAUUUAUAAUUACGCCAUAGCAAAAGCAGAAAAAAAAAACAAAGAUUUUACGUGAUUUGUUAGUGUGUUUACUUUUACGGAUAAAAUCGGUAAAAAAAAAUUUGACUCUAUAAUUUGAUAGUGUAUUAUCAAUAGGUUAGUAAAUUUAUUUAUAAAAAAUUAGUAGAAUUUUUUGUAAAUAAAAUUUUUAUAAAAUAUAUAUUAAAUUUUAUUAUAAUAAAUACAAAAAAAUUUAAAUAAAUUAUUUUUAAAAUAUAAAUAAAUACUAUCGCAAUUCAAGAUACAUCAAUAUGGUUGACUUAUUUUUAAAAAAAGAAAUUUUAAAAAAAUAAUUUUAAUUAAUUAAUAAAAAUAUUCUUCAAUUUAUUAUUAUUAUUAUUAUUAUUAUCAAUUUAAUUAAAAAUUGAAAGCAAACUGAAUAUAUAAAAAUAAAUAGAAAAUGUAAGAAAUGAAAUUGUAAUGAAAAAGAAAUUAAAGAUAAAAUUAUAAUAACUGUUUUGAUAAAUAAUUUAAUAAUUAGAUUAAUUUGAAUCAAACUGAAAAGUCAAAAUAUAUAUUGAACUUAUAACGCAUUUAUUAUGAUGAGCAGAAACUGCAGGAAUGGAGGGAAGGUGAAACCAGAAAGAACGCAGAAAUAACCCCUCUUUUCCCUUUGUCUGCAACCUGCCGAAAGACCGUUAAAUCAUUUAUUAACCAAUUCUCUGUCAGACACACGUAUAAUGAUGCAUACACACACUGUAUGGUCAUUACUAUUUUCAUGAAAAAACCAAAAGAGAGAGGUCUCCAUCAACGCCAUUAAUCCCCUCCACUGUUCGUUUGAUCAGCUUCCAACUACAGCGCCACCUUCUUCUCCCUUUAGAACUCACCCUAUUCUUUAUGAUUCUCCGGUUUCCCAUUCUCUGAAAUUUGAUUCAUGGCGCUAGUCCUAGCAAUGGUUGUCGAAGGUCUGGUCUCCUUCGCUAGCACUCUCUGGAGUCUGCAAGAACGCCGAUUCUCCACUACUUUCGAAACCGUCAGCUCCGUCGCGGUCUCCGUCACUACGGCUCUGGUGCUCUGUUUCUUAUCCGUUCAAAACCAUCGAAGAUCUGAAAUAGCUCUCGCCUUCAUUUAAAUUCAAUUUCGCAAUUGCCGUAGGUUUUUUUUUUUUUUGUUUGUGUUUUUACUUUCGGUACUUCAUUCGAUUGUCCUGUUUCGCCAUCACUUGGUCUCUGUAAAUCUCCGUCCGCAUCGAAUAUAGUUCAGUUCUGAGUUUCUAUGAAAUGAAAAACCAGCACCGUGCAUUUGCGCUUACACAUGUUGGAUGUCACAAUUUCUCUUCGAAUUAUGGAUAAGGUAGUUACAAUCUCUUCUCUUAAGGAAAUAUAUAUAUAUAUAUAUAAAAUUAUCUUAUUGUAUACAUAAAAAUAGAAAACUAUAGAUAUGAACAUGUUAUAUUAUUAUUUUUUGGUAAAAAAAAAAUAUUAUACUGUCCGUUAAUACAAAAUUUCAUCACAAUGACAAUGAAUUUUGUUUAAAAAAAUAAAAUAAAAUAUUUAAUUUAAUUUUUAUACUAUUUUUAAAUUUUUUUAUUUAAUUCAGACCUUUUAAGACACAAUAUCACCGCUAAUGAAAGCGUUAAAUGUCUCUUUAUAAUGAGUUUUUAUGUCAUAUACCACAGAAUUCUUUAACAAAAACAGAAGAUAGAUGACUCAGGAUAUUGAAACCCUACGGAAAUCGACGGUGGUGGUUGUGAAGAAGACAGAGCGGAGGAGACCAUUGUGCCUGCGCUUCUGAAUGAAGGUGAGAGCUCGAUCGAGGUUCUCGGAGAUAUUCGAGGCGAUUUAGCAGCAUCGGCGCUCGUAAGGGGCUGAUAUGUUUUCUUUUUGUUACGACGGCACUGGAGAUGGUGACAAAGUCGGUGGUAGGAAGGGUUGCGUGGUGAGGUUAGCUAGCUUGCCCGUCUGGUCAGAUUUAGUCAAUGAGGCUCCAUUACCAAGCCCUCAAAAGUACGAAAUUUGAAUGUUUUAUUUUCUGGGAUGACAAAGUUUCUUGAUCCACUUAUGGAAGUUGGUUGCUUUCUUGUGUUUUUCAAUGAUUAUUUUAACGCUUUCCUCUUGCUUUUGAACCUCCGAUAAUAUAUAGUUUCUUGUAUGAACUGAUUUAAUGGAUUGAUCUGAUUAUUAGAAUUUGGUUCUAGGUAGAUUUCGAAUUUAGCCAAAAUCCAGUUUAGGUUCAUCAGGACUUUAGGCAACUAAAACUCCAUUUGAGCUCUCCGAGGUUAGACACGGCGGGCAAAAGGAGCCCGUCGCAGAAGCAGCAAUGCCGACAGUAGAACCGGUCGUGUCUACGGUGGAGGAGAAAAAGAAAAAGAAGAGGAUGUAGGUGGUUUUAGGGUCUUAUUUUUUUAAAAUUUUAAUUUUUUAUUGUAUUAAAAAUUAGAAUACCAUCUAAACGUGAAAUUCGUUCAACUAACUAUCAAGACUAAAUAAAAAAAAAAAAAAUUGAAAGUACAUAAUUAAAAUUAAAAAAAAUAAAAAUAUAAAGGUCAAUUUAAAUAAUUUAAAGUAUUAGAAAAUAAAAUUAAUAUUUUUAUUUUAAAAAAAUCGUGACAUUGCCUGGUAAUAUGGAGGGUGCCGCCGGGCUCCACUCCACCAGUCGACUACCUGCACUUUCUUGGAGCUUUAACCUCAUAAUUUCUGAUUUUUUUUGCCUUCAAAAGAAAGAAAGUUUCGUGUGACAUGUCAUUUAAAUCCUGCAAUAAAAGGAGGAGUCAGUCACCUGUCACUUCUCACUCAACUACUACUGUAUUCGCGGUAGGUAAUCUUAUCCAAACAGAACUAAUUUUUUCCUGUUAUAACCUUCAAUAACAUGUAAUUGGACUUGUGUUUUGACACCAGGUAAUCAAUCUCUUGUGAGUUUGUUUUAGCCCGAAUCAUCAAAAGAACUUAUGGGUUAAAAACAUAAUAUAUAUAUAUGUACAUACAUGGAGAUGUAUAAAAUGUCAUGUAUGGCCAUAUAGUGCAUGCAGGCAGAUAGUAAGUUUGAAUUUUAAUCAAUAAUAUUCUUGUAAUUUUCUUGCUUACAAUAGACUCCAAUCUUGCUCCUUUUUCUACCAAGUUUACAUAAUGAUUGUACAAAAAUGUGAUUAGAAGUUAUCAUACCACAAACUUCAUUCCUGCAUCCCAUCCCUCUUCCACGAUAACCAAUAAAUAGCAUAUAAUUCGCCUAAUAAUGAAUCCUAAUUCCAUCUCGGGAAACACGAACCUGCAUUCUGAGGUAUAAUGUUAAUAAAAGCCCGGAAGCCACUAUAGACUACAGCUAACAAAUUCAAAACUGAACUGAAACUGAAUUUGGCACUGAUACAUUAUAAAUUACACAUAUAAUUGAAAGUUUUUGCUUUGAAAUCUUGGAGAAGUAUAGAUCCAUAAAUACAAGUCUUUUAUUUUGGGUACAAGUCGUCGAGGAACUUCUGGACUAACUUUUAUUAUGAACAUGAUACCGCCUCCCGGUACAAACUAUAUACAGGUUAUGUAAUCAAAGCCAGGAUCAAAUCCACCAUCCAUCAGCUGAAUUUCGGAAAACUUAAAUUAUGCGAGAGCAGAGAGCACAAAUAAUAUUACUGAGCAAAUAGACUGACUAAUCUCAGAGUAGAAAAUUAUUUAUCUAGAACUGGACAAAUGCGAGAAAUUUCCUUGAAAGGUCCUGCUUUCAGAAGUAAACAAAAAGAGUUACCAUUGAUAAAGCAACAGCAACUAGGCAACAGAACUGUACUUGAAAGCUAGGCCUGAAGGUAUCCAUUCUCCUGCAAGUAUGAUAUUACAAUUUCAGCCAUAUCACAUGGAGACGUGCAAUUGUCUCCUUUGUCUUGUAAGACUAUCUGCAAAACAUGACAGUUGGAAAAUUAAUUUUAUUGUGUAGCUAGUUAUUUAUUUGAGGAAGUUGUGAAAAGUAAGGUAAAACCAUAACUGAUGGAACACAGACUAACUUUCCAUAAUUAGGAUAGUUCCUCUAUGCUGAACGUUGGGUUGGACAUGUUCAAAGGACGAAUGAAAGGUGAAGGUAUAAACAAAAACAGAACUUUGCACCUUCUUGAAUUGGUUUUAUAUCACCAGUUACCACAACUGAACUGCUCUUAGUUCAUGUCAACUACUUAAUUAUGAACAUAGGCAGAUAACUGGGAAGUAAUAAAUUUACAAUGCUAUUUAGAGCAACAUCUGCUUAUUAGUGUUCUUGCCCAUCUUUAUAGAAGUUCAAGUUUACAAGAAAAACCAGUCUUCUAAUAAGAAACAAGAAAAGAAGGAAAAGGCAUUAUCCACCACCAUGAAUAAAUAUACCUCACAAUUCAGAGGUGGCUCAUACGGAUCAUCAAUCCCAGUAAAACCUGCGAGAUUGAGAGUCAUAUUACCACCAAGUUAAAAGUCCAAACUAAUACAAAAAUACUAGGUGAACUGAGAAAAACAAUCACUGACACGAUCAAUGGAAUAAAAAAUGGGGGAAAGGCAAAAACAUGGCAAUAGUCAAUCUACUUCUUCCAAAUAUAUACCUUUAAUCUUUCCAGAUCGUGCAAGCUUGUACAAACCCUUUGGGUCCCUUGUUUCACAAACAUGGAGUGGGACAUGCAUGAACACCUGUCAAGGGCAAGAGCUAGCAACUUACACCAGUAACAAAAGUCUUAUGCUCCAUUCAAAAGCUUCAUUCAUCCAUGCAAAACCCAUAUACCUCAAUGAAAUCUCCUUCUGGCAAUAGUGCACGACAAGCAUCACGGUCUCUCCUGUAAGGAGAUAUCAAACUAGCAAUACAAAUAAUGCCAGCAUCUGCAAAUAGCUUUGCCACCUCCCCUGAAAAGAUUGAAAUGACGUGCAACUUGGAAUCAUCAGUAAAGAAGGGAAAAGAAGUGAAAAGAACAAAACAUAGAUGACGAACUGAAGCAGUAGAUACCAAUCCUCCUUAUAUUUUCGGCUCGAUCUUCUGCUUUAAAUCCAAGGUCCUGGUUUAAACCAUGCCGGAUAUUGUCGCCAUCAAGAAUGUAGGUGAAUUUUCCUCUUGAGUGCAAUGCUCGACUCAGAGCACAUGCCAAAGUGCUUUUUCCUAAAAUUAUGGUCCAUGAAGAAAGAGCCAUAGAUACAAAAAUAAACUUCAAUAUCUUGUGAUUUCUUUGGUUCUCUAAUAUAAAGACACAAUUAAAGUCAAGGGGGACACAGCUAGGAAUAAGCAACCAAGUUUAAGCAAAACAUGAAACGACUCUUAUCCAGGAUUGAGCUUGAUCUGAAUAUAGCCAAUCAAACUUAAACAACCAGAACUGAUGAGGUCCCUCAUCAUUUUAGUUGCAAAAAAGAAUGUCUUAUGGACAAUUACACUGUAGUUUCAGUUUUUAAUCCUCCCAACAACUGUAUAUAGGAGUAAGGUAGCCAAAGGAGAAAUGCAUAAUUCUUUUCUAUACCCCAUUUACUUGGGGAAAAAAUAAGCGCAGAAAAGAUGAAUCUAGGAGCAGAACAGAUAGGAUGAUGAUAAGUAUGGGAACAAAAAGAGAAAAACGAUCAGUUAGCACAAAUAUCAAUGAUUCUGAUAAGUAUCAUUAGGAAUCAUAGGUUGAUCACUGCAAAUAGGAAGUUUCUAUAGAUUUUUUCUGUAAGCAGAAAUUUCCAGAGUUAGGGAAUAUCAGUGAACCAGUUGCACUGAACCUUUAUAAAUAUCAGUGUCCUCCCACGACCAAGAGACAAUUAGUUCAAUUUUAAUGUUAGAAGGUAAACAUGAACCCUAUACUGAUGACCAUAAAUUAUAGCUGUUUAUUUUAUAUGCAGGAUGUUAAUCAUAUACCAUAAGACUUGUAAGACAAGAUCAAACAUCCACAAAUUCAUGUAGAGGUAAAAGAAUCAACAAACCUGAACCACUGAGACCGGUAAUCCAUAUGACACAGCCUUUCUGCUGAAGUAACUCUUGUCUGUCAAAUUUAUCAACUGAACUUUUAUGCCACACAAUGUUUGUUGACCCAGUGGGAGACAUCUGGCGAAGAUUUUCACCUAGUUAGAUCGCUAAAAUUAGAAAACUAACUAGAGCCACAUGACAAGAAAUCUUAAAAUUGAUUAAUUAUAAUUGCGCUAUUACAUUCACAUAGAAAAGAUUUACAAUCUAAAGAACCAUUAUAGAAUUUAUACUGCCUCGAUUUAGCAUAUAAGUUAAUUUUGCAUUGAUUGACUUCCAGCAACAUGUAAUUGUUAAAUCAUUCAGAUAAUCUUUUAGGAGUCACUUCAGAGAAUAACUUAUAGCAUUUACAACAAAAUUAGAGUUGGAAAAAUGUCCAAUUUCCUGCAUUCAAUCGUACAUGCUCCAAAAUGAAAAAUGAACAAUCUGUGACAACUUCUGCUCAUCUCAAACUUCUCUCUGUGAACGACACAAAAGAGUGAAUAUGCAAGAACAAGAAACCAGUUCGUGCGAGAUUACCAAGUAGGACUAACAUCUAUAGCAAUUGAUUCCUGCACUCAAAAGCCUAUACUACCACAAAUUAUGAUGUGCACUCUCCCUCUUGGGAAGAUCUUAGACUACACGCCCUUACUCAGUGCAAUGGAAGUCGCAAGUCAGUUCUGAAUGACAUAGUAUUCUAAUUCAAGCACCAAUACAGUCCGCCACACAUUUUAACCUCGAAACACCAUAGUUUCAUUUUUGCCAGUGAAGGACAUAGUCAAUUCUUAGAGCCAGAACCAAUCUCAGUAAUCCCAUAACUUGGUUUGGCAUUUAGCAAAGAAGGCAAGCACUUCGUAACUCAUCUCUAAACCGUUUUCACUGGCAGCAACUCAGCAAAUAUUCCCAAGAAGAAAUGUUUCAGAAGUUUUCCCUUCUAAAACGGAGACGACCUCUUUUUCAGAACAAAUCACAUAGUUUUUACUCGCAGAUGAUCAGACAAGAAGAAACUACAGAACGAAAAAGUUACCAGAAAUGCCGGCACAACCAGUAGAGAACGAAGUGAUCGAUUCUUCCGUAGCCUUGAGCGGCUGCAAGGAGCUCAAUCCGCCAUCAUUAACCCCAAGCAGUCCCAACAGCUUCCCUCCCUUAUCCAAAUUAAAUGCAUUAGACACCGGCAGUCUCACACAAGCAUUCUUCGGCAGAGGCAACAUCCCAGAUUCAAAGUCCGGCAACGAACAGGAAAUAAAAAAUCGCGCUCCUCUGACGCCCGCCACCUCCAUGGCCACGAUCGACAGUAAACAUCAAACACCAAAGAGAAGAAGAAGAUGAUGCUAAAAUCUCAAUGGAGACUUCGUUUAAAUUAAAAGAGAGCGUCGGGAGGUCUUCACGGAGGAGGCAGCGGUUUUAACGGUCUCUGUUGAAUAUAGUACAGAACAAAAACAAAAUAUUUAUCGUCUCGUAUACUCGUUAUAUGCGUGUGUGUACAUACAGCUAGAUUGAGUGAGAAGAAAGUGAGAUGAACCUCUGAUUUGCAGGGUUUUGAUUUUGAUUUCAGUUUUUGGAGAAAAGCUGGUUUGAUUUUGUUAUUGACCAGAGCGAUGGCAGACGAUGACAACUCGAUACUGGAGAUCCCGAUCAGUGAUCCACUCACUGAUCCCAAUCAUUUAUAUUUUAUUAAGAAUAUAUGAGAAUUAAAACCAACGAAUUCCAUUGCCAAAUGAAAGUGAGAGUUCGCGAGGGGGGAAAGGAAUCAACGGUUUGCAAUUUUCACGCGCUUCCGGGAGAGCGUCGGUUAUUUCUAUAAAUAAAAUAAAACUUUAUUAAUUUAGUAACUUAUUUAUUAUCUUAAGACACAUUUUUUAUAAAAUAAAAUUAAAAAGUUAUCAUUUUUUUUCUAUAUAUUUUCUUUCUAAAUAUUAAUUAUAAAAAUUAAACAUAGAUUACCAAAUUACAAACUGAUUUUUUUAUUAAGUAAAUUAUGAUUCGUUCAUAUAUAAAAAUAACUGCAAAAAAAAUAAUAAAAACAUUAUACUAUUAGACCAAACAACUGAGUAUUGUACCAUAAACAUCACUAACUUAUAUUUAAUUUAAAUAAUAUUCUUAAAGUUAAGUAUUAGCAAAAAAGGAGGGUGAUUAGGACUCUAUGAAUUAAUAUUAGCUUUAGAAAAGUUGAGUUUACAUGGCAUGCACCUACUUAAUGCAUAAAAAUGUUAUAAUAAAGUAAAUAUAAUUAAAGAUAAAUGUGUGAAAAUAUUAUUUUAUACUUUAUACAUUUAAUACCAAUAGGACACAAGAAAAACUGACAUCCAAACAUAGACUUAAUACGUGCUUCUUGUCAAAUCAGGUUCGUGGACAUCCAUGAAAAUCCAAAUUAGGUUUAAUAAAUAAAUUAGAGAGGAUGGAAUACAAAAGUUUAGGUAGGCAAAAUGGAGUACAGAUAAGUAACAACUUCAAAAUAUAAUUUUUCUGCUUGGCUUAAUCAAGUACACGUGUAUAUUAUUCUUUUUUAUAUCUAAAUGAAUUUGUAAAGGAGGCGAGAAUAUUUAAUUAAUUGAAUAAUUUUUCUUUUUUUUUUUCUAAAAAGAAAAAUUACAGCUUUGAGUUCGUCUCAGAUGUGUAUAUAUAGUCAGAGAGAUGAGCAAUGGACAUUGUUUUAUUAUAAUUAAUAAAUUAUUUCCAUCAUGUUUAAUGUUUAUAGAUGUAUGUGCAACCAUAUUGAAGACGGUGUAAAUUAUAACGACCCCGGAAAUAUCCGAAAGAAAUAAAUUAUAAUUUAUGUGCGGAAGCAAAAUAAAUAUUCAAGUUUUACAUUCUCUACACGAUAACUUAAAGAACCAAACGGGACUGCAGAAUUCAGUAUUUAAAAAAAAUAAUACAAAAAAUAAGGAAAUAAACGGAAAAUAAAGAAAACUAGCAUCUACUCGCAAUUUUCUUGCGGUUUGGAUUUUGGAACUUGGUUCUCUUGAUCUAAAAUUGUUAAAUAAGAAAUGAGCCACACUAGUCCAGUAAGUACAUCACACUAUAUCACCGACACAUAAAUAAAUAUUAGUAAAAAAUCAAAAACAUUAAUAUGAGUACUAAAUUUAACAAAUUCAUUUAUCAAUCAUAAAAAUCAUUUACCGUUCACUUACCGUAGUAGAUUCAUAAAAAUAAUUUAUACAGAAAAUAAUAUUAUACAUAUUAUAAUUUCAUGUAUAAUCAGCAAUCAUAGCACAUAUUAUAAAUCUAUAUCCAUCAUCAAUAAAUCAAGCAAUAACUGUUACUUUUUCUACCAAUCUGCUGGUAUCAAUGGGGGUUCAUAUGGAUGUUCUCACUACACGUGAACUCUUUCAUUUAACAUUCUCAAUUACGGGUCGUCCUCAUACCCCGUUCGGUAUGAGCGUCAAUUUAUUAAACCUUAAUACUCUGUCAUGUAUAAGAGUGAAACAGGUCGUUUUUCAUACCCAGUUCGAUAUGAGCACUAAAUUAUCAAGUCUCUAUACCCCGUCAGCUAUGAGACAACAUUUACGGUAGGGUUCUUUAUGUAUCCGGUCCAUCCACCAUCUCUCAAGAUAUCCAAUAAGACUGUCGUUUCAUCUAUUCAUUUCGUCACACAAUUUUUACCGUUUAACAUUCAUUUUUUUCCGAUUUAGCAGUAAACACAUAACAUGAAUCAUAUAUGCAUUUAAAGCCAUAAAAUCAAUUAAUAACGUACUAUCAUAUAUUUAAAUUGUAAAACAAUCAACAAAGCAACAGUAAAGAAUUUUUGGUUCUGCCUCCAUUAGCAAUCCCUAAUUAAUUAUGUACAUUUUUUAAAUUCACACAAAUAUUGUAUUAUUAUUUAUUUAAACUUCAAUUCUAUGAUAGAGAAUAAGGUGAGGGGAUCCUUACUCGAUUUGAUAUCCGAAAAGUUAAGCUGUUCGAUUACGCUUACGGGCGAUUCCCGGGUUCUCUGAAUUUUUCUUUAGAAAUUAAAACGCGCUAAUAGUACCUACAAAUAUCCUAAACAAACAUAAAAUCAAUCACAUGCCCCACUUGGCCAAUUUUAGAAUUCCGGCACGGCGACGGUUCGCCUCAGGUCGGCUAUUUUCGACCGUUUUCGGUCGAAUUCAGUUGAUUCUGCAUCGAUCCCUACGAGAAAAUUUAUUAAAGGGUAUCGGUUGGCCAAAAAAAUAUAAAAAAUCAAAAUUCACCGGCGGUAGGGCUCUCUGGUGAGGCGGCUCCUCUGGCUCACGUUGUGGUUAGGUGUUUUGCUCCAGUCAACUUGUAGAGAAUGACACGGUGAUCAAAAUGGUGGAACAAUUACACAGAAUGGAAAUCAGGAAGAGCCUCAUCGAAGGUGUUUUGUAAAAUUCCUAGCGGCAGCGCUGUCGGGUUUUGCCUGCAUUUUUCGGCCAAUUGGCCAGUUCUUUUACUUUGAUUUGGCCAUAGAUGUAUUUAGAAUUGAAUUCCAAGCAAAAGAGAAAAUUUUUACCUUUUUUAGUGGUCGGAAAUGGCUCCGGUACGGCGGCAGGUGGCAGCAGUCUCCUUCUCGGUGGCCGGAUCUUCUUCUCCAACGAGGGGGUCUGGCGGCUAGGGUUAGAGUUUGGUGUGGAUGAGAGUUAUUUAUAUCCAUCCGCUUUUGAUCUGGACCGUCCAUCGCGUUUUAUCUGAACCGUUCAAUCACAAUUAAAUAGAGAGUGAAUUUAGACCGUUCAUCACGAUCCAAUUUGGAUCAUCCAUCGUGAUUUAAUCUGGACCGUCCGAUCGUGUUUGGGGAGAGAACGCAUCUAAGCCAUUCGUGCGUGCGGGAACGGAUCUGAGUCGUUCGAUCGCGGGCACGCAGAUUGUCCACAUGGCCCCCCGCGUGGCACCACGUCAGCGUCCUCUACCACGUGGCGCAUCUUGGUUCGUCGGAGCUGCUGACCGGGCGUCCCACGUGGCAUAACUUUCCUAAAUUGCAGUUUUACUUAUGGUUUCUGAUUUUUCUUUCAAAAAUAUCUCUAGAAUCUAAAUUUUCACUCUUUUUCUCCAAAGUUAUUUUUAAUUUCAUCAUUCUUCAAUUUUUACUUCAUGCUUACUCUAAAUUAAAUAAGAAAAAUUAAAAAAUUAUAUUUAUUAAUUUUAAAUUACAUUAAAAUCCUAUUUUGGGGUGUUACAUAUAUUACUUUAAAAUCUAAUUAGACGGAAUUAGAAUUCAAAAAAAAUAUAUAAAAUAUAGAUUGAAGAUUAGAUCCUAAUGUUUGAUUAGGUCUAAUAAAGUUUGAAUUUAGAAUAAUACAAUUUUUUUUUUAAAAAAAAAGUACGCUUAAAAAGAAAAUAAUAAUACAAUUAGUGUUUAUCUGCAAAUUAAGAGGAGAUGCUAGAGCGAGAUUCAAAUUGCACAAUUGAAGUCGAGUAGAGGGAUUAGAUUCUUCAACUUGGAGGGUUGAGAGAGUUAAUGAGAUCUACAACUCAAGCGAGUGAGCGGCUAAUUGGAGUAUGAAAGUGGUUCGAUGGAAGUUGAAGGAAGAGGAGUCGAUACCCGAAAGAGGACAAAAGAUUUAGUUGAGAGACGAGAGGGCAUAUGAGACUUAAGAGAAGGGAAGUUAAAGUCAAGGAUUAUCAUGUAUGUAAAAUAAAAUUUUGGAUAGGAUUCAAUAGGUGUAAUCUAAUUCCGAAUUAGUAAGCAUCAUGGGUUGAAUGCUCAUUUUUUGACAAGGACCAUAAACUUUAAGGAAAAAAGAAAAUAAUAAAUUACACACGUCAAUUAUGAUUUGAUUUUUAUUAAAAAUAAAUUAUUUAUUCAAUAAAAAUAAUAAAUAUUAAAUUUAUUAAUUAUACAAUAAAAAAUGUAAUUGUUUUAAAUUAAAUAAUGACACAUUAGAUCGAAUUAAUGAAGUCAAUUGUAAUAAUAACACUAUUUUAAUUGGGUAAAAUGUAAUACAAAAACAUAAUAAAUACAAGAGUCAAUCAAAACUAAUUUAAUUGGCAUUUUCCACUUUAAAAAAAAAAAUUAAUCUUAAAAAAAAAUAGUCAAUAAUCAUCGUAGAGGUCGGCUCUUCAAGUAUGCAGGUAUAUCAUGUUUAAGCCCAAUAAAAUCCUCAAGUUCAUAAUCGAACUCAACACCGUCUGCAAUUCUCACCUUAUCAUCAACCUUAUAACAGUCGGCAAUCUCCUCCUUUUUCUGCUCAGUGCCGCUGUGUUUGUAUUGCUUUGAUACCCCAAACGCAUACUUCAACCCUCUAAACAACAUCUUCCCAAUAUUCAUCUUCCCUCUUGGGCUCUCUCUGCAGCUUGACCUCUCUGUUAAUGGCGACAUUAUUGUGGCUGAUCUCUCGGCUCUGUGCUCUCGGCCAAACGUCACACUUAAUAAAGAACUCGACCCUCGCUCUCCUUUCUCUACCUUGUUCCUCGCAGCGUAGUGGAAGCUCGCUGACCGACCCGAAUCCAACACACUUCUAGAUUGACCCACAACGCAACUAGCGUUGUGAUUACUCCUUUCGAGCUCUGAAGAUUCACGCAAGAGUUUUCUCAUGGUAUCCAGCUCCUUCUCCAGGUUUGCUAUACGGGAGCUUGUGGCCUCCAUUACAGCCUUGAGCUGCGCAGCUUGGCGCAGUGCGGAGUCGCGUUGGAGGAUAGCGCCGAGGGUUAAGGGGUCUCUGCUGCUGGUGCGGUGAUGUUGUCCUUCGGUCAGUGAGAGGUGUUGUCUAUGGUUGCUGGCGGCGGAGCAGAUGGAGAGGCGGGUGUUGAGUUGCUCGGCUAACAUGGCUCUGACUAUGAACCUGACCGGCAUUCGAGGGUUUUGGACGGCGUGGACUAAGGAAUCCGGCGAGAGCUUGACGCAAUCUAUGGAGUUGCAUAUCUUCGUCCUCUGUUCUUCACUUAUCUUCUUCCCAUUUUGUUCCUGUCAAUUAAGAAAAUGAUACAAUUCUGCACGACAGAUUUUGUUUGAUUUCUUUCAACCAAUGCUCUACGGACACGUGGCUGAUGAGUAAUGAAAUUCCUAAAAUAGGUCAAUGGUCAGAGUUCGAGUGGAUUACCUUCAUGUAAAUGUCAACGAUCCGAUACAGCAAAUCAUGGCACGAAAACCUGCAAUUCAUGGACUCGGCUACGAUUCUGAAAUCCUCGGGUCGCAACGUCAUAACGUCGUCAACAAAACUGUCAAUGCCGUCACCGUAUUCCGUCAGGCUUAACGCCUCGAUGCACCUGCCAACCAAAGACGCCGUCGUUUCGGCCUCGGGGAGCAAAACAAGGCACGAACGGAGAACCACCAACGCGAAGUCUUGGUUAACGGUGACCAAACCAUUGAAGUAGUCUUCAGUCACCUGCUUCAGAUUCUCCUCGCCGUCACCUUUGGUCUCGGUCAUCUGGAGCAACUCCGCCGCUACCCUGAGAGCGGCGAGGUUGAACGGCGUAAUGGUAAUGUCCGUCCCGUAGCAAAAGUCAGCGACGAGGGAGAACGCGGCGGCCGUUAUGUUUAACGGCGGUGAGAGGGUUAACUCGGAGAGUGCUGAUAACUGCCGUUUCAAAUAAAUGCUCCGUUUUGACAGAAGAUCCUGGUGAAAAAAAAUAAAUAAAUAAAUGAAAUUUUUAUAACGUUAAAGAAAAGCCAUGCAGAAUUAUGUUACUGAUAAGAUGUUUAUAGUAAUUUAAUUUGUAUAUUUUAAAAAUAUUUUAUUUAACAUUAUGUAUUUUUUACUAUAAGAUUUCAGAGCCACUUUUUUAUUAAUUUUUAAUAAUAUUUAAAUUAACUCUUAGUUUACAACUAUGUUUGAAAUAAUUUAAAAAAAUUUUAAUUGCAUUAAUUUCCUGUCACCAUAAUCACAUUUAACAUGAGAAUGUUUAAUAUGGGGAUCGAAAGGAUUGUACGAAGAAGGAAUUUUUAAUAGGCAUUUAUCAUGCACAUUAAAAGCUGACCGAAACGUUUCUUUUAAUUAUGAGCAAUUAAGACUUUACAAUUAACAAAUAUAUACAAAGAUCUCGCCAAUCUCAUUCCUUAAUUCGUGCCCCAAACAGAUCUUGAACACGAACUAUGUUUUAUAUAGGAUUUUAUUAUGUAACUAAUGGAAAAUUAUGUCUAAUAACAUAAACUUGAUGACCCAAAAUUCAGGAAAUUGAACAGAACUAAAAUUUGUAUAUGACGAAAUUCCCUUCUUAUACCAUAUGGUCUAUUAUAAUGGAGUUAUAUCUGUAUAUGUGUAUAUACACACACACACACACAUAUUUACACAAAAACAUCCUACGCCGUUGAACUUUUGAUGAGUUAUAGACUGGUAAAUUACCUUGUGGAGACGAAAACUUGUUUCUUGAACAUGUAUUAACACAUCUGGUUCAUGCCCGGUCGCUAAUGACCUGAUUAACCACAAAUUAAUGAUAAUAAAACAUUAUCAAGGAAUUUAUAUAUAAUAGUUAUGGGAGUAAGAAUUUUAUUAAGUUUUAAAUUUUUUAAUCUUUUUCAAGAAUAAAUGUGAUAUAAAACUAAGUUUCAGAAGUUAAUUAUUGAGACUGGAGAAUUCAUGUUUCUUGCAAAUCUACUGUAGCAACUGGUUGUUCACCAAGGUCUUUAAGUAAUUCCAUCCAAGAACCCAUGUAAACCCAAUGCCAAGAUUUCAUGUUUUUAAAGUGCAAAAUUCAAGCUUCAUACAUAUUUGUAUAUAUACAUGGAGAGAGAGAGAGACAUACCAUUCUUCAACUCUGCAAUGGAGAUCAGGAGUAUGAUCAGGAGAGGAGCAGAGACUCCGGGAGAGAGGAGAAGGAGAGGAAGAUGAGUACUCAUCCUCUUCAUAGAUAGUAUCCACCACACCCAAGUUCCUCCAAGAACCCUUCAUUGAUUUUCUCUUUAAAAAAAUCUUUUCCUCUGUAAAAUCUGUUUGGGAGAUCAGAAUUUGAUUUUUUCUAGGGAGUUGUAGUAGUAAAUUGAGGGAGGAGGGUUUUUUUUUUUUUUUUUUUCUUUUGAAAGGGGUGAGAAAUUCUCUGAUGGGGUUAUAAAUUGGUGAUGGCAUUAAUGGUGACAUGUGAUGCCUCUUAAAUGCUAUAUCCCUUUAACCUUCUGCUCAAUUCAAUCCCUUUAACCUUCCUUCUCCAUCAAAACUGUAUUUUGAUACAGAUUUAGGAAAUCUGAUUUGGACUUUUAUGGGUACUGUCUACCAUAAUCAUCAACUAAAUUUAAUCUAUUAUAUAUAUAUAUUUGAUUUGAUUUUAUAUUCAUGUUCAUGUUCAAUUAGUUUUUAUGUAUUGUGACAAUUUUUUUUUAAUUUAAUUCAAUAUAAAAUCAGAUUGGAUAUAUUUCCAUUUGAAUACCAGAAUAAGCUGUGAAAAUCCAGUUCAAUUAACAAAGCCCAAAACUUAUUGGAAAAAAAAAUGCAUUUAACAGAAAUUAGGCCUUUCAGGGUGUGACGGAAAAAAGCCCACAGCCACCGAACAAAACCCUAAUUUCUCAAUCAAACGACACCGUUCGGUCUGAUCACCCUCUAUACAUUAUUCAAUCAACUUUAACCCUAGAAUCCACUGUCACACGCAGAGAGGGAGAGGGAGAGAAGAAAGGCAGCGGCGGACAGCAAGAAUGAAGUACAACCCUCGCGUAAGCUCUUCCCGCCGGAAGAACAGGAAGGCCCAUUUCACGGCCCCUUCGAGCGUGCGCCGUGUUCUGAUGAGCGCGCCUCUCUCUGGUGACCUCCGACAGAAGUACAACGUCCGGUCGAUGCCNNNNNNN
RNAcentral lists this long non-coding RNA (77192 nucleotides) under Carica papaya (papaya). Its description in RNAcentral is "long non-coding RNA (CPAP_LNC012237)". The record is from RNAcentral. Lineage: Eukaryota; Viridiplantae; Streptophyta; Magnoliopsida; Brassicales; Caricaceae.